RNAcentral lists this long non-coding RNA (49120 nucleotides) under Brassica rapa (field mustard). RNAcentral describes it as "long non-coding RNA (BRAP_LNC003495)". The stretch from base 43633 to 43739 matches the Rfam family "Plant small nucleolar RNA R71". Lineage: Eukaryota; Viridiplantae; Streptophyta; Magnoliopsida; Brassicales; Brassicaceae. The record is from RNAcentral.
AAACGGAAGCGGGUACGUGGAAGCGGAAGCGUAAGGAAGCGCAGAAGCGAGAUUUUUUAAAAUAUUAGGAAGCGGGUACGUAUUGGAAGCGUAUAUCCAUAUAUAAAUAAAUAUAUAUAUAUGCAAAAUUUUUAAAAAAUUAGGACUAAAAAUUAUAUGAUUUAAAUUUGAAAUAAAACAUUUAUUCAUUUAUAAUAAUUUUGAAAUGAUUUUAUAUUAAAACUGUAAAAAUACACAUAAAUUAUGUUUACAAAAAAUAUUAUAUUAAUUAUUUUUAAUACUUCAUAAAUAAUUGACACUAUGUUUCAAUAUGUGCUAUAUCUUUAAUAAAAAAUCUCAAUGCAUAAAGAUAAUUUAUAGUAUUAUUUUUGAUAUUUGUAUAUUUAUAACUCAAUAUUCAUUACUAUUAAUUUUUUUUAUUUUAUAUAGAUUAAAACUAUGGUUUUAUAUUUUAUUGAUAUACAUUGUAUUUUUUUUUUAAAACGGAAGCGUGAUUCCAAAACGGAAUCAUAAGCUUCCAACAGGUUUUUAAAGAGAAUAUUUUAGAAACGUUUUGGAAGCGAGAUUCCGCAAGCUUCCACGAGGUUCCGAUUCCGAUUCCGGUUCCGAAGCGGGAAGCGGACGUCCGAUGAAGCUUCCGUGCAACGUACUUUUAUAUAAUAAGAUUUUUAUUUACCUUUGUUUUCUGGAUUAGAAUCAUGUUAUUUAGCAAAUUGAGUCCAAUCAAACCGUUGACAAAAAAAAAAGAGUCCAAUCAAACCGGUCCUUUUUUUUAAGAGAUUAGAAGCAAACGAACUCACUCUCCCUUCACUGACAAGCCUCACCGGAGCAAAGUGAAAGACGCUAAUGACACUCUGUUCUUCAUCUUCGUCUUCUCAGAAGACAUGGAUUGUUCACGGGAUCUUGGCCGGAAUGGCGAUUGCUGCGGCGAUAGGCGCACGUGCGUAUCUGGGUCGAUCCAGGAAAUUCCGGAGCCGGGUCGUGGGAAUCAUCCCCGCCCGUUACGCUUCCUCUCGAUUCGAGGGAAAGCCCCUCGUGCAAAUCCUCGGCAAACCCAUGAUCCAGGUUCCUCCUGUAUCCAGUAUCUCUGCCUAUAUCUAAAGUAACCACCUUUACGAGUUUUGUUACCUUCUCAAUCUAUAAGUGUUUCCAUAUUUUUUUCUCAAAACAGAGAACUUGGGAGAGGUCUAAGUUAGCCUCUACGCUUGAUCACGUUGGUAAUGUAGCUCACAUCUCUUAAAAAGAUGUCUACUUUAUGGAUCUGACAUCUCUUCUAUGAUCAGUCGUGGCCACCGAUGACGAAAGGAUCGCGGAUUGCUGUCGUGGAUUCGGUGCUGAUGUCAUCAUGACAUCAGAGUCUUGCAGAAACGGUCUGCACACACCAUUUUCUUCAGUCCCCUGUUUGUUUUCUUUGGCUUAAGCUAUGUAUCAUCAUCUGGUGGUUCCCUAGGUACUGAGCGGUGCAACGAAGCUCUAGAGAAGCUGGAGAAGGAGUAUGAUGUGGUUGUUAACAUUCAAGGCGAUGAACCACUCAUUGAGCCUGAGAUUAUUGACGGUGUUGUCAAAGCACUUCAGGUUUCACCUGACGCAGUGUUUAGCACAGCGGUGACGUCACUGAAACCAGAAGACGGGCUUGAUCCUAACCGAGUCAAAUGUGUUGUGGACAACCGUGGCUAUGCUAUCUAUUUCUCAAGAGGCUUGAUUCCUUUUAACAAGUAGUCUCUUAUGUUUUUGUCUUCUGUGUGUUGUUACCUUUAUAGUGUUCCUGUGGUUGUGUAUUUAUCAUACGCUAUGUAACUAGUAAUCACUUACGUUUUCUGCGGUCUUAGGAGUGGUGGAGUCAAUCCAGAGUUCCCGUAUAUGCUUCAUCUUGGUAUUCAGGUACUGAGUGAGCAGCCAGUUUCUCAUAUUCUAUAUGUAUUAUGAUCUAAAUCUCUAUAUCUUUAUCUCAGAGCUUUGAUUCCAAGUUUCUGAAUGUAUAUUCGGAGCUUCAACCAACGCCAUUGCAGGUAGAAGAGGAUCUAGAGCAGCUCAAAGUUCUUGAGAAUGGCUACAAAAUGAAGGUAAAACAGAUGAUGUAUCAUCCCAAAGAAUGGAUUCUAUGCUCCUGAGAGACUUGUAAGUCAAGGCAUUGAUGUUUGGUUGUCACACAGGUUAUAAAGGUGGACCAUGAAGCCCAUGGAGUUGAUACACCUGAAGAUGUUGAAAAGAUUGAAUCUUUAAUGCGUGAAAGAAACCUCUCAUAGUCCUCAAAAAUACACAUCUUGCUUUCACAUGAACUCCUUUCCUUGUUUUAUGAUAUGGUUCUUCCCUGUUUUUUACUCUGUAAUUCAACGAGUUAACUUACACAUAUCUUUUUUAAGCUAAUGUAAUACUACUGGUAGAUAUAAAUAAUAGGAAAGAAAUGUGGAAGCUUGUGUUUGGUACAUCCAAGAAAAGAUAAGGAUUAAGGACUAAGGACUGUGAGAACAUGGUGAUAUUUAUAUAGCCAAUGACCUAAUUAGGAGAACGUGCUAAAUGCCUCGAAAUAGCUGUCUCCUUUGUGUGAGAGAGAUCUGAGAUCCAAAGAUGCUGGGCUUUUGUAAACCAGCAAGAGCACAAGUCACCCUUACAGAAAGAGGAGAGGAUGAGUAAUGGAGAAAACUAGGGUUUUGGUAGUAACGGUAAUGUGAUUUGUAUAUUUAGGGUUUAAUAGUGUUGGGAUGUGCUCAGAGUCAGAUGCCUUGAUCAAGACGUAUGUGUCUAAUGAGUUGCUUGAUUCAGUUAAUCUCAAAGGUAUAUUACAGAUAUAUAUAUAUAUAUAUAUAUAUAUAUAUAUAUAUGUAUCUGGAUUUAAUGUGUUAACUCUCUGUUUGUUUGCAUCCAUUGUGUUAUAGUCCCCUAGACGACUGGGAUUCACUCGUGUUGGAGUCCAAAGUCACGGUGAUGUUUAUGUUCACAGCUACGUGGUGCGGAUCAUGUGGUGAGAUGAGCCUCAUAUUAGACUAACUGGACUCAGAAUAUAGAGGGAGCUUCAAGUUCUACAUAGCCGAUGUUAUCAAGGAUCAAUUCAUCGCAGAUCAAUACAGUGUACGGGAUCUUCCGACCACCAUUAUCUUCAAAGAUGGAGAAAAUAUAGCUUCUUCCAUCGGACCUCUUUCAGCGAAGAGAUUGAAAUCACUCGUCGAGAAAAUAUAGCUUCUUCCACCUGUAACUCUUUGGACUUGGCUCGAGUCUCUUUAUUUGUGUUUGACUGUCAUGUGUCUUUUAAGUUAUUACUUUUUUUUCUGACUUUUUAUUACUUAUUUCUCCAAAUCUAUAUUAUAUAAAAAGGAAAAAAAUGAUCGCUUUACUAAACUAAUGUAUGCCUAACCACGAAAUAUAUGUUAUAUAUGUUAUGCAUGACAACAUCCUUCAACUUUAUGAUGUUAUGUAGUUAACAUCACGAGUUUAAUUUUAUUCAUCUAAAAACUGAAGUGAAUGUUAUUAUAUUAGAGAUCGUCAGGGUUUUGAAAACCGAACCGGCCGGUCGGACUGGUCCAACUGUGAAUCGUUAAGUAAACCAAAUACGGGUUGAGUUAAAACUCGGAUUUGAACUAAACCGCCAAAACCGGUUAAAAACCGGCUAAACCGGUUAAAAACCGGCUAAACCGGUGACUCUGGUCAGUGAAAAAAACCGGUUCAACAAAUACUUAACGUAAUUUCAUUAGUUUUGAAAUAGAAAUGGUAACUUCUUAACUGAUUCAAGAUUCUUAGUGUUUCGUUUGAAAACCAUAAUAAUUUCUUUCCCUUUUCAAGAUUCGUAGUACAUUUGUUUCCUUCUUUUCGUUAUACACUAGUGGUGUUUCCGCGCUUCGCAGCACAAUGUGUAGUAUAGACUUUACACAAGUGGGCUUCUUAAAACACUCAAGUGACUCAUCCAAACAGGUAAUACCGGGAUAUGAGAUGAUUUAUAAAAUAUUAAAAUCUCAUAUUUCGAAGCAUGGACUUGGGUGAGAGUAUAAUCCCAAUCUUGGUCGUUCAACAGUAGCUGUAACUUCUUUUUAAAACUGAUUUUCAUAUUAAAAAGGAAACAAAGAUACAAAUAUAUGAAAAUUUAAAAACAGAGAAGAAAGCUACAGAGGGAACAAAAAAAAAAAAGCUACAGAGGGAGAUACUUUAGAAGAACGAAGGAAGGAGGUCACAAAGAUUCAGAAAUUCUAAAAAUUGGACACUCGAAACAGUGUGAGGUAUUAAGCUAGAUACCUGACCAAAGAGAGACGGUAUCAUCACCAAAUCUACACUCUAGAUUUCUAAGGGCAGUUGAUUUGUUUUUGAUCAUGCGUACAAUCAGUAGCGGCCCUGAGCAGAAGCCAUGGAAGCAUGUGCUUCCGGCCCAGUUUGUAAUAUCUAAUAUUUCGGCCUAUAAUUUUGCAAAAUGUCUAGUAGCAUAGUUGGUUAGAGGUUUGUAAUAUGCACUAGGAAGGUGGAAGGUUUGAUAUACAUUAGAAGUAGGUUUUUUUGGUGUUUAACUGUUAACUAGAUUUUGAUCCGCGCUUUCAAAGCGCGGGAUUAUUUUCGAAACAUUCCAAAUUUAUUUGAUAUAAAUUUAUAUUUUAAUUGUAUCUACACUUAGAUAUUACGAAUGAAACAUUAUAUUCAAUGUUUUGAAACCCGAUCCGAUCCGCAGUUAAAUUGCCAAAUUCGGUAGUUCAUAAGUAAUCCAUUUUAGUUUUAAAAAAACUGUUAUUUAAAAAUUCUAUAAAACCCGUAACAACCGCUAAAACCCGAGAUCUGGUUAUCGGUUGAACUGAUAGAUGACCCAAUAUGUAAUCCGGUUUGAUUUAUUAUUAUAUUUUGAGUAUUGUAAUAUAUAUUCAUGAACGUUCAGAAGAAUAGUGAAUAUAUUAUGAAAUUGAUAUUCCAAUUUUAAUACAAUUUUAGUCAAACUAAAAUUCCAUCUUGUUAAUGGAUUAAUAUUUGAGUGGAUGCAUAUUAAAAAUAAAAUAUAUUUGAGCAUCAAUAAUGUGUAUACGUCUAUUACAAAUUAAUGAUUUACGUUUUCAAAAAAAAGUAUAAUUGUUUAUUUAGUUAUUAGAUACUUUUUGAUGUUUUGUCUAUGGCUUAUUUUAAAUUUAAAAUUUAAUUUCAUUAUUCGCAUUAGAAAUGUAAAUAUUUAUAAUUUUAAUUUUGAUAUAUAUUUUAAUAUAUUUAGUUCUUAAUUUUUUUAUAAUUUAUAUAUAUAAUUUUAUUUUUAAACAAUUAAAAUAUUGACUCUUACUCUCUGGCUUCGAUUUAUGUUAAUGUAAUGUUUUAUGAUAUAUUUGUGUUAAUAUAUUUGUUCAAUUAGUAUAUAUUUGAUAUAUAUAUUUUAUGUCUGUUUGAGUAAUCCGUAAAAAAUAUAUUCAUAAAACUAUCAAUAGUAACAUGUUUCAUCAUAUAAUUACUGUUAAUAUUUAUUUUAUAAUAUGUAUUUAUAUAUAUUUUAGUACUCUACUAUAAGAAUUAUAUUUUUAUGUAUUUGGAGAGGGUUUUGAACAAUUUUUUUUUUUUUUGCAUUUGGAUUAAUAUAUAGUUGUAUAUAUACGAAUGAAUAUAUAUAUAUAUAUAUAUAAUUAUUUAUUACAUUAAUAACUAAAACAUAAUUGAUUAGUUAUUUGAAUUUUGAAUUAAUAUAAAUUAAAUUCAUUAGUUUAAAAAAUAAUAGAUUAGUUAGUUAGUUCCUUAAUUUUAGGUAUAAUGUAUAUUUAACAAUUAAAUUAGAUAUGAGUAGAAUAAUAGAAAAUGUAAUUAAAUAUAAUUGUCCAACCUAGACUAUUUGUAAGUAGAUAAAAAUUGCUUCUGUUUUAAUAGUAUUGAUUUAUAAGCCCAUAACUGUAUUUUGCUUCCAGCCUGAUUUUUUUCUGGGCCGGGCCUGCGUACAAUGAUGCUCAGAAUUGUUGCUUCGUCCCUAGAGAGACCAAUAUUGAAGCGUCUAUUUCUUUCCAUCCGUAAACCAUAAAUGGUACCAUGCCAAAGUUGAAUCAGAGCUCUAGAGGAAACAGGGGAGGGAAGCAGUAGGUAACCACCGGAAUAUUAAAUCCCAGUCACGUGGAGUUGAGAGAAGUUUAACUUCAACAGAGCACAGCUCCAGAAUGUGGAAGAGAAGGAUAACCUGAAAAAAAAAAUGGUCUCUUGAUUCAGGUUGAGCCACACAGAGCAGACAAGUAGUUUCAACAUCUAAACCUCAUAUUUGGAGACGAUCCAGAGUGGGAUUUCGAUCAAGAACGAACAGCCAGACCGAAGUAGAGUGUUUCGGGACACUUCAUUCAAACCAACGAAGCACAAGAAACCAGUGGUUUAGUAAUUCUUGCUUCAUUCCAUUAAAACCCAUAUUAACAUGACAAAUUCAUCCAAACAAACCAAUACUUUCAAGACUAAUAACCUCCAAAAGCCUCUGGUGCUUGCGGAUGCUUGCAUUUGUCAGGAUGAACCAUCAUAUAUGAGUCUGAUAAACAUUCAACUGAGUCUUUUUCGAAAAAAAUCUAAUUCAAAUCAGUCACAAAAUUUUCAGUGUAUUCUCAAUUAGUGGCAUAGUAACUAAAAUCACCAGAAGAAACCAUGAAUUAGUAAAAUUAAAAUGUCUUCACAGUGUGACAAAACUGAAGAAUACUUUUGUGUACUGCCGUUUAAAAAUAGGUUAAGAUGCUCAAACGGGUUCAGCUUGAAGCAUGAGAGAAUCCUACAAAUUUGGAACUUUUAAGACAUGAUCAUCAGAAACAUGGCUGCAACAAGACGAUGAUACCGGUAACAAUUCUAACAGUAAAGAUAAGUCAUUUACUAUUAUACAUGGAAGAUAUAUGAAAAUUAUCCACAUCCAUACCAGAAACUAAUCAUAUUUGAUCAGAUCUACACGAGAUCUCCUUAAGCUACGGUACUCUCAAGAGCUAAACAUAGAUGCUUGAAAAUAAUUAAAAACCAUAGAUGCUUGAAGUUGGAGCAAUGGUAUGACCCGCUAAAUAUCCCACAAAUCUGAAACUCCGACCCAGAUCCAACCAGCUAAACCAAUCUCAUUCAGCAACGGAGUCAUCAAACGCCGCCACCACAUCCACCACCACUCAACCACCGUCACUACAGAACCGCGCAGCUUCGAUUGGAGGUCACGCGCUCGACGUUUGCAGCGAAUUCAUGCCGUCUCCUACCUUCACAUCCUCUGAUCCAACUUCCCUCAGGUGUGCUGCGUGCGGUUGCCACCAUAACUUCUACCGCCGUUACCCAGACGAUUCCUAACUCACUUCCGCCGUGGCUCCACCGUCUCUCCUUACAUCUUCCACCACCGCUGAAACAUAGUACCAGCCUCACACCAUCAAUUGAUAUACCUUGCUUCCCAGAACCUCAGAAGGCGGAUCUAGGCGGAGUUUAAAACUAUAUAAUUGUAUUAUUUUUAUUUUUAUUAAUCUGUUUUGUUAUACACUUUUAAUAAGUAGUGUUUUAACAUUUUUAUUUUAGUGUUUUAACAUUUAAAUUUUAGUGUAUUUUAAAACUAUAUAAUUGUAUUAUUUUUAUUUUUAUUAAUAUUUUUUGUUUAUUUUUAAUUAUUUUAAUCUGUUUUGUUAUGAACUUUUAAUAAAAAAAAAUAGUUCGUUUGAUUAAUUGUAUAUAUAUACUUCUUUGAUAAUUUUUUUAAUUAUAAAACUUAUUUGCUGUCAAUUUACUGACUCUAGUAUUUUAUUUGCUUAAAAAUUAUAUGACGCUAACUUAAACCAAACAUAAUCUUGCGUAUAUAAUUAUAAAUUACAUACUUUUAAGAAUAAAAAUAAUCAAAGAAUAAGAAUCUAAUGUGAAAGUUUUACUAAGUUUAAAUGAAUGUAAUUUUUGUUUAUGAAAAAAUAUAAAAAAUAAUUCAUUAACUUAAUAAUUUUGUAUUAAGCAAAUAAAAUGUUAAGAGUCAAUAAAGUGACAUCAAUGAAGUUUUAUAAUAUUUGUUUUUAUCAAAUAAGUAUAUAUCACACAAUUAAUCAAACAAAUUACAUAAUUUUAAUUAAAAGUUAGAUUUUUAUUAAAAGUUAAAUUUUGCAAAUUAGAUUUUGUAAAUUAGAUUCUUACGCUUUAAAACAUGGGCCAAAAUCUAAUUUAGGUAAAUUACCCUUAGAUACGUCACAUUUUAAUUGAUAAAACGAGAGAUUUAAACAGUCUCUGAUAUACACAUCUUUUUUGGAUGAAUGGAAUUAAACUUGUGAUGUUAACUACAUAACAUCAUAAAGUUGAGGGAUGUUGUCAUGCAAAAUAUAUAGUUCGUGUAGCUAAGUACACAUUUGUUUAGUUUGCAUGGUUAGCCAUGUGAUGGUCCAUACUUCAUGUAGUCAGCAAUCAUUUUUUCCUAUAAAAAUUGAAGCUAUAAGUCAAUGUAAAGUCUAUACUAUUAAAACACAAGGUUUUUUUGAGGUCCUCUUACUGUUUUGCAAGUAUUCACAAAUGUGCUAUUGAAAUAUAUUUAAACAUUAACAAAUUAAAUUGCUUACAACAUCUUGACAAGAUCUUUAGAAUAUUUAAACAUAAAAUAUUCUUUAAAUAAUUAAAUGUCAAAUCUUCAAUUUUGAAAUAUAUUAUUUUCAGCUAUUUAAAUUUUUGUCAUAAAAAUAUAAAUAAUCGUAAAAUCAUAUGAGUAUGAAGUCUUAUGUAAUAGAUAUAGAUAACCAUAUUAAAAGUACACUAUAUAUAUAUGUUAAUAUCAUUUAAAUUUAACUAUAUACUAUAGAAAAUAGGUAAAUAUGAUUGUUUUGAUUUAUUUAUUGCAAAAAGAUUAAAAAUAAAAAGAGUGAUUAUUUUGAUUUAUAUGUUUAUAUCAAUUUAAUUAUAUAUGUAAUAGUUACUUGCUUCUCAAUUAUUCAAUAUAUAUAAUAUUUUAUAUUAUGUAAGAUAUGCAAAAUAUAGUGCACAUAAAAAAUUUGUAUACCGAAUGUUCAUUUCUGCGCAAGAAGCGGAUCUUAACCUAAUGCGCAGAUUUUAACCUAGUAUGAACGAAAGCAUGAGAUUCAUGUAAAUCAACAAUUCUGAAUACAGAGUAUUACAAGAUCUUUCAUACGACCUACAAAUUAUUUAUUUCAUAAAAAUAACCAUUUGAGAUCAGGAAUGCAUAUCGAAUUCAAAGAACUAUAAGUCAAGAGGAGGAGACUUUUCACUGUGGAAUCGAGCAAGAACCUUAUUUUCAAGAACUGCCGAGGCUUCUGAAGAGUUGAUGCAUAAGGGUGUCUUAUAUUGAGCUCUGGAACUACCUCGGGAGAUGAAAUAGUCCGUGAGAGAAUUGAAUGUUCCUUGUUCCACCACUCUUAUCUCUAAAGCCCCAAUUAAUCCAGUUCUUCUCUUAAGUCUAUAAGUGGAACCAAAUGAUUCCUCUAGUACAUAACAACAACCCAUUAAUGUUUUUUCAUCAAGAACAAGAACGUCAUUAACCUCUUUACCUUUGAGUUCCCAGUAAAAAACAUAGUGACCAGGAAAAGUAGAGAUAUCAGCAGAGCUUGUGAAGUCCAUUAACAUUAAAUUUGAAGACUCGAGAACAAAGGUCGCACGAGCCAAAGCCUUUAAAAUGUCAUCUUCAGUUGUGGUCUCCGUUUCUACACUUAAAACCAUAUUCUUUCGACGUACGAAUCUAAACUGAGGUGUGUUAUUGUAAAAUCCAGUCACCUCUAGAAUAUCACCAAUAAGAUAUCUGUUUAGACCGAAACAAGUAGUGACCACAGGUUCAUAGUAGCAUCCUAACUUGACGUUCACAAGAUCGACAAUGCUGGUCAUGUCUCCCUCAUGGUCAACAGGUAGAAACUCGAAGUAAGAGGUGUUGGGCACAAACGUGUAGGACACAUCUUGUGGUUUGCAUAGAGGAUCCACAUUAAACCCAAAUAUACUUUCAGAAGACCCAUAUACUGUGGAAACUAGAGGAAGUUUGUUGCAAUAAAAGUCUAAUAUUGGAAUGUAUUGAGCCAUUUGUCCUGUAAGAACGCACUCAAUACGUUUGGCUUUAGGCCAAAGUCGUGUGACUAUACCUUCCCAUGACUUGUGGCUGCAUUCUUGUUCAAUGAGAUCAGCCAACUCGGGAUUAGGUCCUCCAAUAAUAGCUGAAACAGAGCUUCUGCAACCCAGGUCGGUGAUCCACUCGCUAACAUGACCUAAACGAAUAUUACCACAUAACUCCUUCCAGUUGCUUUCAAGAAAAUCAAUGGCUCGGACCAAUGCAUGAGCAAAAGUUGCACCAAAUCUCACAACCUCGUCUCUUUGGGAAAGACCGCAUAGAAGAUGACAGUACAGACUUUGCUUGUUGUCCGGACACAAUAUGACUUGGUCGGGGCUUGUGUACUGAGACUUUGAUGGUCGGUUUUUGAAAUAAUCGCUCUUGAAAAAACUUGUAAAUGCUGCAGCAACGGGUAAGCCAGAGGGGGUUGUGGAUUCGGGUUUAGUGUAAUGAAACUCCAUUGUCUUUCCUUGCUCGACACCGUUGUCACUGAAAUGCCUUUAAACAAGAACGGGAUGGAUCUUAAUAUCUUAGUAGUGAAAUUUAAGAAGACAUACACAGUAUAUCUAUUAUGUAUUAAGAACUACGAAGUAACAUUAUAUUUUUGAAAUAUAAAAACUAAAAAAUAAAAAAAUAGUAGUAAUUAUUUAAAAAAAAACUAUUUUAGUUUUAUUAACACAGUCAGUUAAAUCCUAAAUCAUAAACUCCAGAUCCAAAACACCAAACACAACACUAACCCUAGAUCUUUGGGUAUAUCCUAAACCCUUGGAUAAACACUAAAUCUCCGGAAAUACCUAAACCCGAAAUCCUAAACUCUAAACUCUAUACUCUAAAUCUUAAAUCUUCGGGUUUACCCUAAACUUUUGGGUAAACCAUAAACCUUUGGGUAAACUAUAAAUUUUUGGGAACAUUUUAAACCCUCCGAAACACCUAUUAGGGUUUAUCCACCAAAGGUUUAGGAUUUCUCCAAAGGUUUAGGGUUUAAUGUUUAGAGUUUAAGAUUUAUGGUUAAUGUUUUAACUGGCAAUGUUAACAAUAUUAAAAAAAUUCAGUAAUUAAUACUAUUUUUAUUUAUUUUAAUCUUGUUCUAUUUUAAAAACAUAAUGUGAUUUGACAAUUUUUCAUUGGUUUUUGAACUUAGAGGUUCACCUUAAGAGUGAACCCAAAAAUUAAUAAUUCAUUACAUUUUGUUAUAUAUGAAGUUUAGAUUUAUUUCGAAAAAAUUAUUUGAGAUACAGGUAGGAAAUAUAUUCUAUUGAGAGUUUGAGCAUAUUUGUAUUAAAACGACAAAUUCAACGUUAUUCAAACAAAAAUUUUAAAAACUUCUUUUGAAUUCAAGUGUUAUUGAAUUUGUUAUUUGAUAAAAUACUUUGAAAUUGAAUGUUAUUGAAAAAAAAUACUCAAGUUGUGCAUUUUAUGAUUUUUCUAUUUAUUUUAGAGUGUUUUAUUGUAAUUUAUUAGUUUAAGAAAAAAAAAUCUUUGAUACAAGUUUCCAGGGUGGUUUAACUAAAAUAAUUUUAAAUUACUAAUUCAUCUAAAAUCACCUAAUAAAAAUUAAAUGACUUCAAAUUAUCAUUUCAAUAAAUCUCCCUAAGGAACUACCAGUAGGAUUUUUCAUAUAUAUAUAUAUAUAUAUAUAUAUAUAUAUAUAUAUAUUAGCUUUGUUUUUAUAGUAUUUUCAAAUUAGCUUUAGUUUAAAACUAGAUUUAAAUGAUCCAUUUCCAUGGAAAGUAAUAACUCCAAAAUUCAUAUUAAAACAAAUCUUAAUUCAUAUACUAUUUGAAAGUUUGAAAAAUUAUUUAAAUCUUAACUUUGGUUUGAUUCCAUGUUUUAAUUGUUGAUAAGCUCAGACAGUGCCGUGCCUAGGUGUUUGGGGGCCUAAGGCUAGAGUAAAAAAGUUUUCAUAAUUAGUAAUAAAUAUCUAUUACAUAAAACUUUACAAAAAAUUAUGUAUUUAAUAUUUAUAGGUUCAUAUGAAAAAGUGAACAUAUUAUUUCUUAAAAGAAUACAAAAUACAUAGUUUAUUAAACCAAAAAUGCAACAAAUUAUCUAUGAGGGUUUUAUAAUUGUUUAAUUAAAUAUGUGCUUAUUUUGAUAUGUUAAAUGGCAAGCUUAUAAAUGUAUUACUACAAUAAUAAAAAUAAAAUCAUACAAGCUAAAAAUUUAUAGUUUAGAGUGUAAAAAUUAAAUAAAUAAAGUAAUAGUUUUAUGAAGAUAGAUGAUAAAUUAAAUCUAAAAAUUUAAAAUAGAAUAAAAUAAGUCUAAAUAGCAUAAAUAAAUUAUUGUUUAAAUCCAAAACUAAGAGAAAUUUAUAUAUACAAUAUAACCAAUUUAAAGUGGAAUUAAAAUGGGGGCCCUAAAAUGUGUUAUACAAGUUGGGGUCUAAGGCGGUUGCCUUUCUCAUAACAAGGUAAGCACGCCUCUGAGCUCAGAUCAAUUUUGGUUUGAAAUGUUUUUAUUUUAAAAAUCAGAUUCAGUCCAGAUCAAUUUUCAUUAUAUAAUAAUUUAUUAAAUUAUUUUUAAUGUUUUUGUUCUUGGAUAUUGUAAAAGAAGUGAAACCUGAUAAACAUUAUUUGGAGUUUACUUUCAGAUAAUUUCUAGUCACAAAAAAAAAACAGAAUGAUUUAUUUAAUAUUAUAGUUAUGAUUAUAUGACAGCAAUUUGUUAAUAUAUAUGUAUAUAUAUAUACAUACUUCAAAUAUAAAAGAAUCCAUUAUACUAACAGAGAUCUGAAUCAAUUUGUAGGGUUAUCAAAUCAAGCUAUUAUAAUUUUGUAUAGAUGGAAUUUACUUGGACAUAACAAGAGAGCGUAGAGCCAAUACGUAUCCCAGCUGCUCAAUGGCCUCAUCGUUCACAGGAAAUAUCUUUUGUUUCCCUCCUGAAGUUCCAGAGCUAUACACAACAAAAUUCCACAAUAGUUAUAGAUCACAGUGGUAUAUAUAUAAGUAGUAGCAACUAUCACUUUCAAGAUCAUCAUGAUGGUAGUAUGUACCUUCGGAAGAAUCUAGUAACGGGUCCACCUGAAAUUAAAUCUGAAGGCUCUCCAUUCGCAACACGUUCAAUGUAAGGCUUAACAUCUUCAUAGUUCGCCAACGGUACGUUUUUCUUGAAUAGUUCUUUAUCAUUGCUUCCAUGGAGAAACCGUCUGAGGUAUUCUGUGUUGCUGUUAAGUCUAAGUAUCUUCUCCAAUAAAUCAUCUUGUAUCUGCUCUGCAUUUAACGUUAACUCCUCCAGACUACUGAGCUCUACGAUUGAACUCAUAUUUUUUGGUUUUUAUCUAUAAUUCACUUUAAGUAAGGGGGUCUUUUAAGUUUUAAAUCUUUGUCAAACAAGGGGAGGGGUAUUUAUAUUGCAGUUAUACACCAGACAAAAGUCUCGCAGGCUCUUAAAAACAAAAAAUUAAUUUCACAUGCUCUUAAUGAAUCUAUCGUACUCUUCAUUUAAUCUAUACUAAAAAGAAAUGAGAUUAAAGUCAACUAUGCCAUUAUUUCAUCUAACCAAUCAUGUGAUUUCGUCUUAUUUCUUUCACUCGUCCCUCUUCUUUCCUCUCCUCUCCUAUUCGGUAUGUUCUGUCUCUCUUUUCCCGAGCACCAUUGUUUCUGGCUUGUUUUACAUUUGAUUCACCAGCACUACAUUAAGCAAUUUUGACGAAUUAUAAGUAUACAUUCAUACCCACACACUAUAACUACAUUACGCAACAUUACAUUAAGCAUUACAUGUUCUUCAAUUGAUAUAACUUGGCAUAUCUUUGUAUAACUUGGUAUAACUGGUAUAACUAAGUAUUAGUUGAGCCGUACAACUUGGAUAACUAGAUUAAUAAAAAUGUAGAAGCAAAUGAAAUGAAAUUAUGAUAUUACAAAACUUAUAUAUUUCAUCAAAUUAAGCAUUUUAUUAGAUGGUUAGAUGAAAAAUGAUUAUACGAAACUAAAUAUAAAUAACACUACAUGUGUGCCCAACACUACAUGUUUCCCGAUUUAUUCAAUUUGUACCCAAUACUAAUAGUAUAAUUUUGUAUAACUUGGCACAACUAUAUUGGUACAGUUGGUAUAACUUAGUAUUAGCUGAACCGUAAAACCAUAAAACUUUUAUAACUUGAUUAGUAAAACUUGUAGAAGAACAAUAAAAUGAAAUGAAAUUGUUGUAUUACAAAACUUAUAUAUUUCAUAAAAUUAAGUAUUUUAUUAGAUGGUUAGAUGAGAAUUGAUUAUAAGAAACUGAAUAUAAGUUUACAAUAAAACUAAGAAAAAUAAGAAACUAAAACUUCGAAUUUUUUUCUUUUUCUUUUUUAAAUUCCAGCCCAGUUUUACCUCCCAUUUUCAAAACAUCCCAAACUCAUGUCAUUCUGUUGUCAAGUAUAAAAACCAUUUUCAUGGUUUUCCCAUUACUACAAUCCUUUCAAUCUCAUUGAAGCAUGGAGAAGCCAUUCUUUGUGAAAACAAGCUCAUUUGAUGAAUUGUGACGAAGCUGAGUUCCAUUGCAAUAAGUUUUAAUAAGUGAUAUCAUUUUUUUUCUUCUUGUAUAAAGUUGCAUAAGUCUCUUGUUUGUUUGUUUGUUAGGUUUUUUGUUUUUGUAUGUUUUUUGUUAAAACAAUGAUUAAGUAAUAUUGCCAAUUUUAACUAUUUUGAUUGUUUAUAUUAAGGAACUACAAAUUUCCAAAGUUUUACUUUGUUAGCAAUCACAAAAUCAAAGUUUAACAAAAGACAUCAAGAAUUAAUAUACGAUCCAUCAUGUCCUCGUCAUAUACAAUAGAAGUCCUGUACAAUCCAAAUUAGUUGAAGUUUUAAUGAACUGUCCAAAGUUUUGUAGUUAUACCAAGUCUAACUAAGUUAUACAUUUUGGGUGCAUUUUUUCCCCUUUUUUAUGGGUAAUUCGUGUUAUAUUAUUGGAUUCGACUAGUCUCUAGGUGGAAGAUUAUAGACUAGUCUCUAGGUGGAAGAUUAUCCUUUUGGUGAUGAAAGAAUGAAAUGAUAUCGGUUAAAUUGAAGAUUGAUGUAGCUUCCACCAUUGUUUAAAAGAAAUCGAUUUAGGAAGAUUGACCCGAUGAAUAUCUAAGUGGAUUAGGUGGUCCGCCUGAAUUGUAAUUCUUUAAAUUAUAUUUUGGUUUUGUGGUAUUUUAGUUUUUCGGAAUUCAAUAAAAAAAAUUAUAUUCGAAAAUGAAAAGAGAGCAUAUGAAAUUAUUUUUUGUGUGGAAAAGGACAUAAGCGGACAAAAAGAUGGGCCCAUUAGGUUUGGUUUUGUUUGUGUAGACGCUUACACAUGUCACAACUAAGAAAUACGUGUCAACGGAUCAGUAACGUAUAAUGCUGUGAAAUACAGCAAUUUAUUUAUAUCUCACAACGUCAUAACUUAUUUAAGAGAAUGGCGAAAACUUUAAUGCAGUAGUAAUUUGACUAAAAAAUUUAGUAAUAUUUUAUACUAAAAAUUUUGAAUUUAGACUUCUGAAAAAUGUGAAAUAUAUAAAUUAAUAAAAAAUACUUACUACAAAUUUUUGGAUAAGGUAAGUCAGAUGUAAAUUCUCAUUAAACAAAAACUCAUUAAUUAUAAAUAAAUAAUAUAUUUAUCUUGUUUAAAAUUAGUUCUAAGCGUCACCAUUGAAAAAAAUAAUUAUGAAAUUAGUUUGAAAGUAAUUACUACAGAGGGGAAGAGGGUUAAGUAAUUGCAUAAAAUACAUGUUUUAUUAUAUUUUUUGUCGACAUGUUUAAUUAUAUUAGAUUUAUACAUAUUUUUUGGUGUGAGUCUGUGAGAUUAUACUUGAAAAUUUUAUGUCUAACAAAAUAAAAUUUAUAGACCCAAAAAAGGAGCGUCAGGGAAGUAGAAAACCACAAGAAAAACUUCACAUCCAAACACAUAUUUACAUGAAAUAAAUUAUACGGUAAAAACACCAUAAUUAUAAUUAAUUUCAAUUCCGAAAGACUAAAUUUUGAUUAAAAGAGUAUUAAAUCAUUUUUGUACAUAAAUGAUCAAAUGUACAAUUUAAAACAAAUUAAAUUUUGAUCCGAACUUCCAAAAUUUAGAAUUAUUUUUAUUUAAAAUGUUGAUUUAAUAAAAAUUAUAACUGCAGCUAUAAUUUAUGCAUUUUAACUUUUUUUAUAAUUUUGUUUAAAUUUGUGUUAUUUUAUUUAGUUUUAAAGUUAGGUUUAGAAUUUUUUUAUAAACUCAAUGUGACAUUUUGAUUUCUGUUAUACACCUGAAAAACUUAAGAAAAUUGAUUUGACUACAUAUGUUAAUAAAACUUAUGUUUUGGUAUACAUCUUGUUAAAACUUCAGAGUUAAAAGUGUUUAAUCUGGAAUAGUAGAAAUAUGAAUGAUUUAUCGGAAAGUUAUUCGCGAUAUCGUGAGAGUGUGGUCAAAUUAGGGAGAAAUGUCAUGUAGUGAUUGUAGAGUAAGUAAACAAGACUAACGAGCCUCCAAAAAAUUAAAGCACCGUCGUCGCAUAGAAUAUGGAUGGUGCAUUAGCCGUGGGAAGUUGGAGCGUUACACUUUAGUUUUAAUUUAUUAUUAUUUUUUAAAUCAUUAUAUAUAUAGCUUUUCCUAAUUUAAAUAUUUUAAACUAUAUAAAUAAAAUUUGGAUAUCAAUAUUAACUUUGUGAAAUAAAGCGAAAACCUUAAUUUUGAAUAUUAGUGUAUUCAUAUUUUAUAUUUUGAGGAGUAAUACUUUUACAAUUACAAAAAUAUAUAGUUUUUCUGUUAACUAUCAUGUACUAUAUAUACUAUAGUGUAAAAUCAUAAUUUAAAAAAAAAUACUUUUAGCAAAUUAAUCAUUGUAAGUUUAAUAUGCAUUUCGUUAAUUUAUAAUAUUUUUUUGUAUUACGGAAUAACAUACAUUCAUAUAAAAUUUUAUUUUUAUUAUAAUAUUAUAUAGUCAAAUUAAAAUUUUAUAUAAAGAUAACUAUACAACAUUAAAAUCGGAUAAUUCGUUUUUUGGUGUGUCUCGUAUUUUCUUUAGUUUAUUUGUACAAAUCAAAAUUGAAACAGAAUAACACAUCUUUUAACAUGUCUUGCAUUAGUUAAAUUUUUUUAAAAUAUUUUUUACUAUAAAUUAUUUAAUGUGUUUGUUAAAACUGUCUCAUAUUUGAUUAAUAAAUUGCAUGGAUGAUAGAAACUUUUUUUUUUACAGCAAGCAUUUACAGACUCAUGUUGACUCUGUAAACCAAAUUGGUAACUCCGCAUCCAUGUAAACGACGAAUGACGUUUGUUUCUUAGCACUGGGUGCUAAGCUAUCCGCCCGUGGAUGAUAAAAACUAUAACAGUUAAAUAUCAAGUGUAACAUGUUUCAAUUAAUUUAAUAGUUUAAUUUUUGUCAUGUAAGUAUAUAUUUAUUUAUCAAAAUUGUAUUAAAAAUCAUAAUUAUAGUCAACAACCAGUAAUUUAACAUUUAUUUUUUAUAUUUUAUAAAUUAUAGGAUUUUAAAUAUUGGAGUUUUUGUUAUUUUAUGCAUAUUUAUUUAAAUAUAUUAAUUAUUGACUUUAAUAUUUAAUGAUUCUAUAAAUAUAUAUACAUAAUUUUAUAAAUUUUCUAUUGUAUAUAUAAGUCGAAAUUAAUUUAAUAUUAAUUUAUAAUAAUAAUUUAGCAAUAAUUACGAAAUUAUUUAAAUAUUUAUAAAUUUUGAGACUUUAAAAAAACUGUAUAUUCAUGAAUGAUAUAAUAAGAUUUUAUUAGUUUGUAAUAAAUUUUGUAUGAAGUCUUUUUAUUUCUUUUUUUUAGAAAUAUUUAAAUAAUUAAUUGAAUAAUCUAGUUGUUAAGAGACAUUUAAAUUGUAUAGUUAGUAUAAGGGUCUAAAUUUAACAAUGAUACACAGAAGACUAAGGUUAUGUUCAAUUAGUAUUUCUAUUUUAACAGUAUAGAUAAAUAUUAUAUUGAAAAAAUGGAAAUAUUAAAUAUAAUUUUGAAUUAUAAAAAUAUAUUUUUUGAGCUAUAAAAGGAAUGAAAGAUAGAUGGCGGAGACAUCAACUUUUAGACAUACACAUUUAGCUUAUUUCAAUAUUGAAAUAUUAUCUUGAUUCUUCAAAUAAAACUUCAAAAUCAUUAGCACUAUAAUCCAUUCACUCCCAUUUCUUUUUCUUGUUUUACACUUUCUAUAUUAUCCCUUUGAAAUUUGUAUUAUUCGAAACAAUCAUAACUCUUAUAUUAUUUAUUUUAUUAACAUUAACAACACAAUUUUUUUUAUAACUCAAGAACAAAUUUCAGUCCUAAACAGAUCUAAACUAAUCUUUUGGAGGCGUGUGGUCCACGCUACAACAUUGUUCAGAAACAAUCAUGAAAUAAUUCGAAUUCGCAAUAUAUAGAUGCAGGAAAGAGUCUGCCCUUACUAUUAGACCACGGACUUAACAACACGGCUACAACAUUUUUAGAAUAUAUGCUCUUUAAAAGGAAAUUUUUGUAUGUAGGAAAUUUUUGCAUUUCCGAAUAUUUCUAGUGUAUUAAAUUUAUCUAUUUAAUCUAAUCUUUACAUGCUUUGACUACUAUUGGUAGAAUUAACAUUAGGAAUAAUCAAGCUUUUAUUCGUUUUAAAAAUUUCAGUGAAAAUUUAUAAGAUAUGAAUUAUCAACACAUAUUAUAAAUAUUUAAUACUAGCAUGCAUAUUAAAAACUAAACUAAACUAAACAAUACAGCGAAAGUGACAUUGACAAGAAACCGAGGCCGUAAAACUAAUCUAGUUGCCAGCAGUGGAGCGGGCAAAAAUUUAAAGCGAACUAAAAUGGUCGGAGAAAAGGAAAUGGUUACCACGAGCUACUGAAAGAGAGGUGGACUUAAACUUAAUUGCUACAAUUUCUUCAGCUUCCGCUACUCAUUUUUUUUUGUAAACGUUGUUAAAAAUUGAAAUUUGAUAUAAUUAUCAUUUUAUCAAAAAAAAUCAUGCACAUUAAAAUAUGUUUCAUACAAUUGAUUAAUCAUAAUUACUUAAUAAAGAACAAAUGAUUAGGAAAAAAGAACAACAAUUAAGGUUUUCAUAACUAGACAAAAUACAGAGCAUUGAGAGGGAUGGGUAAAAGACAGUGUUGGCUGGUGAAGAUUGAAAAGACGGUAUCAUGAAGUUUCACGUGUAAACGACAGCUUUUUUCUAAUUUUUUUUUAUAGUAAGACAGCUAACCAAAACAAAUUUCAAAUGAACGCUAUCUUUGUGAUGGAAACCUACCUCCAUUCGUGUUCGUCAUCCAGAAAAAAACAAAACGUGGAGAAUUAGUAUACAAGGCCGCACCUACCAACUUUUUGGUAAUCCGAAUCGUCUAGAUUCAAAGAUCCGACUAGUCCUAGAAACCGAGAGACAAAUUAUGUAAAAUAUUUCAUAUUCCUACACAUACAUAACUUAUCAGGAUGGUAGAUGUUAAACACUCCGUGUUUAGCAUCUCUCUAAACCGUCGUAUUACUCGACCAUGUCUGUGUAGACGUACUAGCUACUAUUUUAGAUAAGGAUAAACUCAAGUCUUUGUAUUAUUGGAUCGAACUAUUUUCAAAAUGCAAUUUUGGUUGUUUUGGCUUUCUAUGUUUUCCAUAUAUUACCAUUAAAUGAUAGAAAAUAUUGUCGUGACUUACUGACUUUGGGUAAGUUUAUGAGUUAAAUAACCCAUUUGAGUCACUCAUCUAUAUUAGUGCAUGUUGAACCUAACAUAUAUACGACCGAUUACAUAUUCUAUUGUUCUAAAUUAUUAUUAUUAUUUUAUUAAAUAAUGAAAUAAUUAAAAAGAAAUUGUAAGGAAUAUUCUGUUUGCUUUACAACAUAUAUAAUGGGGGUUACUGGCUGAGAUUUAUCUCUCUAAUUUAGUUUUAUUUAUUUUUAAAUCACUACAUUUUAUCAAUCAUGUUGUAGUUUUAUUUUUAAAAUAAAGCUUACAUCAAGUUUCUAUUAAUUUUUACCAAUCAUGGUUUAACUUUAUUUUUAAAGCUACAACAAGAACAAUUUUUUUUCUUAUGUAUUUUAGGUAAAAAACAUAUAUCUUUCUUUUAUAGGCUGUAGAAUCUGUAAAAUGAAAAGACUUUCCAAAUAUCAAAUAAAUUAGAUAAUCAUGAUAAAAACAUCUAUAAAUAUUUUAAUUUAAGUUUGGGUGUUUUUAAAAUUAUUAAAAUAUUUUAAAUAACAUAAAUAAUAUUUACGUAUCACAUUUUAAAUAAGGUUAAACUUAUAGCAAAAAUAAUAUAAAUUAUUUUAAUUGAUAAAAAAAUAAUCAUUUUAUAUAUACAUCACAUAUUUCACAUCUUUUAUUUUAAAAUAUCUACAGUCUAUAGCUUACAACUACAAUAAAUUUAACUACAAUAAAAAUCUCUUCAAAAAAGUUUACAUUACAAUUUUACAGCUACAGUCGAACCAAUCAUUACCAAUAUAGGUACUCUUUUUUUGGGUGAAUAUAUGUAUCUUUGACAUGUAGAAUCACAAUAAACGGUAAGCAUUACAACUAGAGCUAAACUUUUACUGCUAAAUUCUUACAGCCACAUUUAAACCAAUCAUCAUCACCAAUAUAUGUACUCUUUUUGGGUGAAUAUAUGUAUCUUUGACAUGCAUAAUCACAAUAAACAGCAAGCAUUACUGAAAAUUCCUAUAAUUUUAUCUUUACUAAUAUACAUAAAUAAUAUUCUUAAAAUAUUAAUUAAUUUUUUGUUCUAAUCACCGAAUCGAAGAGAUUUACACAUUUUAUUGAUUUAUGAUUCAGUAUACAUUUUAUUGAUUUAUGAUUCAGUUUAUACAUUUAUAUAUAAUAAUUAUCAAUAUAAUGUAAUACAUUUACCACAAUAGUAAUGCAUGGUCAGGUUACAAAGACCAGAUCAAAUAACCAACUCAAUUUUGAGAAGUAUAAUAAUUUUUUGAUGUCAAAAAAGCAAUGCAUGGUAUUUGAAUAAGAGUUUAUAAAAUAGUUUAGUUAAUAGUGGUGAUAUACUUGUCUUUUUAUAUACUAAACUUAAUGUACCUAUAAAAAUGAUUAUCAUUUAAUAGUAAAUUUGAAAAAUAAAAUGAAAUAAAAAUGUAAAGGUAGAAUUUUUCCUUGAAGUUUUAUGUAACAUUUGCUUUCAUCACAAGAUCCGCUGUAACACACUGGUUAAAAUUCUUCAAAGGAAAUUUCUGGGUCAAUUUCGAUCAAUCGGGUCUUCCUAUCAUUCGUAGACAAACUUUCAGAAAAUUAUUCGAUUGGAUCUCGAUCUGCCGAAUACUCCAGAUUAUAUAUAUAGAAAAAGUAUAUCUUGUGUAGUUUUUGUUUGCCAUCAACUUAAACAUACUUGGUUAAGAUCAUGUUAACCAAACUGGGGACUCUAUGUUUAUGUGAACAAGAUAGGACGGUUGAUUCCGAGAACCGUGUGCAAAACUAUCCAUCUCUGUGUUGUGAGUCCGGGGGAUGUGUAUGAUUUCAAACGUGUUGAAACCUUCCUUCAGUCUUUGUAUGUCAUCCAAAUACGUCACAAAAACGGGCGAUUCUUCUAGUUCUGAAAUCAUUUUUACCAAUUGAGACCAAUAUGUUGCAAAAGUAACUUAAAAUUAUCUGAGAGUUUUGUCUGAGAGUUGUCAUACAUUCCAUCACCCAUGUGAAGGCUUCUAAUUCCACAUGCAAGGGUGAGAGACUGGCUCUGGUAUUUCUUGCCACAUCAAACCUUCAAAGCCUUCUAAUGUUAUAUACCAGCAUUGACCAAAGAAUAAAUCCUUGUCUUUCACGGAUUUAUCCGUAAAACACCAUCUUCCUACCCUCUGUAUUGUGAUUUGCGCAAUAUGAUAUAUUGUGUUUUUGGCACAUUAUAUGUAUGUCUUACUAAUAGUUUUCAAGGUUUUAUUGAGUCUUUUUAGUUCCUUUGAGUCAUUACAUGUCUGGAGUUGCAUUGGAUGGGAGAUGGACCAGCUGGAGGAAAACCGGAGAAAAAGAGUGUGAUUUGGAGUCUUUCGCGCAGAACAGUCGAGCGGAGCAGCCUGAGUGCCUGCUCCAGCGACAGAGAUUUAAAAGGAAGUUUCUAAAUAUUUCGGGAUUUGCCCUAGUUUUCAUAUUUUUCCCUCUAGCCGUCUGUGGCCCCUAUAUAUAGUCUUCUUUUAUUUAAUUUAUGACCUACCUUAGUUUUUACGCAAGAAAGAUCUGAGAGAGCUUUGUGAUUUUAGCAAUUGCUACUUGUAAGGGAGAAUGUCUAAUCUAUUUCCUAGAGAAGAUUAUCCUGAACCAUCUGAUUUCUAUUAUCUAUUAUAUGCAGUAAUUCAGAAAUCAUGCUUCUCUGUUCUUGUGUUAUGUCUGAGUAGUCACCGAGUUAGUUUAGGGUUCUAGGGUUUGGAUUCGCGAGCUGAAGUAUAAAUAAGUCAUCUUAAGAUUGUCUACAUUCAUAUCUGUUCUUAUUGCUCGCAUUGAACUGAUCACUUAGUGCAUGAGUUAGGUUAAUCAAUUUAGCUAACCGUUGGUUGAUAACUUGAUAUGAUUUGAAUGAGCUUUGACUCCCUAGUCAGCGAGAGUAGAUAUUAUGGUGUAUUGGAAACAUAUCGGACUUGAUCUCUAAAGCUUGCUAUCGCGUCUUGAUCCAAACGAGAGUUUAGGUGUCAAGACCGAUCUACAAAGGAAACAACACCACGACAGUGGGUUGUUUCAACCUGAGUGAUCCGAGUUUAGACUCGUUUAAACUGGACUUGAAUAAUUGUUUGGUUUGCGAUUUCCUUACCUGAAGAAGAAACUUUAGACUAGCGCCUUUAAUCAAUUCGAAAACAACCUCACCUUGUUAACUUGUUAUUUACGUUACCUUACUAUUUUAGAAACCCCAGUUUUGUUUUAGCUUAAUUCUGAUCCCAUAAAGAUAAAGUGUGAACUGGUCCUCUGGAAUUGAAUCUAAAGAUAUUACAACUACACUGUUAACUUGGCAGUAGGCAAAGAUCCAAUUUUAGUGUAUCAAGUUUUGGCGCCGUUCUUUUUUACCUUUAUUUUUUGGUUAUUUAUUUAGUCUAAAACUUCUAUUUUGGUACAUAUAGUUUUGUGUAAAAUAUUUGGGCUGAUCAUUGGUUGUCCAUAUCCAAAUAUAAAUGGAUUUAUUCUGAUUACAUCUAUGUUUUUAUAUGGGCUUUAAUUGGUCAAGAAUUAUAAACCAAUUGAUCUAUGCACGUUAAUGGAUUUAGUUUAUUGUAGAUGUAGUCAGCCCAAUACACAAAAAGUUAGGGUUUUGUCAUUUGAGGAGAAAAUUUUGUUUCGUAGUUUUCUCUAAUUUUCUUCCAAAAUCUCUCCUUUAACUACUCAUUUGGUGAUUUCCUUCAUCGUUCGUAUCUUCAUAUGUUGAUCUCUCGACUGUCUUUGUCGACUCGUCGAUCUCUCCAAAACUUUUCGAUUUAUCUUCCUCUUCUCUCAACAUCGAUUGGUUUUACUUGUUUUCUCAUAUAUCAUUGAUUUUGAGAGACAUGCAGAGGAUCCGAAGGGUUUUACUUGUUUGUGAUCUGAUAGGUUUUACUUGUUUGCGAUUUGAUAUGUUGAUUUGUUUUACUUGUUUAGAUGGGUUUACUUGUUUGAGAUUAGAGAUGUUGAUUUGUUUUGCUUGUUUUGAUUUGUUUACAUUGAGUUAGAUGGAUUUCAUUGUUUGCUUGCUACAUGUUUCAUAAAUGUUUCACUGCUACAGGUUUUCCUUGUUUACUUGUUUGCUUGUUCGUAUUCUUGUUUGAUUGCUAUGGGUUUCAUUGUUUGUUUGUUCAUAUACUUGUUUGCUUGUUCGUAUUCUUGUUUGAUUGCUAUGGGUUUCAUUGUUUGUUUGUUCACAUACUUGUUUGCUUAUUCAUUUUCUUAUUUGUUUUCUUCGAGUUUCAUUGUUUGCUACAUGUUUUACUUGUUUGCUUGUUCAUAUUCUUGUUUGCAAUUUGAUAUGUUGAUUCGUAUUACUUGUUUGCGAUUUGAUAUGUUGAUUUGUUUUACUUGUUUGCAUUUUGAUUGGUUUGUUAUUUUGAGAUGCUUAUUCAUUUACUUGUAUGAGUUAGAUGGUUUCAUUGUUUGCGAUUUAAGAUGUUGAUUCAUUUGCUUGUUUGAGAUGUUGAUUCGUUUACUUGUUUGAGUUAGAAGGGUUUCAUUGGUUGCUUACUACGAAUUUCAUUGUUUGUUUAAAAGCACAAACAAUAUCAAAGUUUACGAUUUUUUUGUCUGAAUGUCUCACUAAUAGUAAGGCGGGUUCAGAUAUAUAGAUAGAUAUCACAUGAUGAUCAGAGCUAAUUAAAGUUACAAGUCCAACUUUAUAUGGUUUGAUUGGUUAUUAGUAGAGUAACUCAGGAAGAUAAAAAAAAAUAGAGAAAAUAGAAAAGGAAAAAGUGAACUUUAGCGCAAUAUUUUAUUUACACAACGAAAAAGAAAAAGCACAACUAAUUUUUUCCUUCUCGACUAUUGUCAACGAAAAAGUAAAGUAUAUAUAUUUUUAUUUGACUGGUGAAAUAAUGCCAGAAAUUAGAGUAAAUAUGUUUACCUUUAAAAUAUAUUGCUAUAUCUAACAAACAAUCACAACCAUAAUAAACAUAAGAACAACAUUAUCAAUUUAUCGGUACAUACGAAAGCAAUAUCUCUAACAACUAAUAAUAAUAUUUUAUAUUAAAUUUAUUAUGUAGUUGUUUUACUUUUUAGUAUGAACCAGUUAUAAAUUAACAUUUGUCAAAAACAAUAUCUCGCAAGUUAUCAAAAGUUUUUUUUUAUUAGAAUUGGUUCUGACACAAUUCAUCUAUUGUUUUUUCUCGGUUUUUUUUAGCUCUGAUAUUUACAGAUCCACGUUGGAGGUGAUCUAAGACCAUGUGCAAUGGGGCUGUUGAAUUUUUAAUUCAACAGUUGAAUUCCCACAAUGAACAUGUUGAAAAAGUUAAAAUGUUUAUGUGGAUUCAACUGAGUUGAAACUUUUCAACAUGUUAAAACACAAAACAUGAGACCCACAAGUGACAUAUUCCAAAUUAGUCAAUGAGAAAGAAGAGAGAGAAUGAUAUAUUUGAUAUUUUUAUCCUCCUAAUUGUUUGUGAUUAGUAUUUAUACAAAUAGAUUGAUUUAAUUUAUUUUAUUUUAUAUAAAAAUUAUUUUUCUUAUUCUACAACUAGAAACUUGUUUUGAUUAAUUUGGUUAAAAAUAUAUAUAAUACAUAAUUCUACUACUUUUUAGUAAACUAGUUUUAAUUUUUAUUACAUGCAAAAAUAUAAAACAAGAAAAAAAACAUUUUAAAAGUUAAUUCUUUUAAUUUGAUUUUUUUUUUAAAUAUUUCUGUUAAUAUUUAGAUAUUUUUUAUAAAAGUUAAAUGUAGAUAUACAAGUAUAUAAAAUAAAAUUGUAGGGUAUGUAGUUGAAUUUUAUUAAACAAAAAUAUUGUAAGGGUUAAAAAUGAAUUGAGUGUUGAAUAAUGAAGUGGAAGAAAGGGAAGAUGACAUGGAUAGUUAAAAUGAGAAUUGAAGGUGUUGAAUUUACAAAACCAUUGUCCAUGGUCUAAAGAUCAAAAAAGUUUGGGAUUUUCAUGAUUUUAGUAUUGGUCCACGUCGUCAAUGUUCUUUAGACUAUUAAGAUUGUGAUAUAAUAACACCAAAUGGGCUUUAGUAAGUUCAGUUCAAAAGGUUCUUUUGUUCAUUUGUUUUGCUGUCUAGUUUUUUUUUGUGUUUUGACUCGAUCUAGUUUUCUGUCCGAUUCACAGUAGGGUUAGAUACGAAUACUCAUUACUUGUCUUAUACCCGCUACUUGACCCGUACUCACUUCGUUUUUUCAAAUAUUCGUCGUUGUCAAAUCAAGUAUCAAGUCGUUGAGUUUUGCUUCUUGCAAGUACAAGGCAAGUAACAAAUAUCACAUAAAAAGUUACGACUCGCCUUGAUAUUAUUCAUUACUUGUUUUACGAUUAAAAAAUAAUAAAUAAACCAUAAAAAUUAAAUCCCUAAACAAAUAUUUUUUUGUUGUAAAAAGUAAACAAUAUUUUUUUUUAUCGAAUUUCAUCUUUUUUUUUUAUAUUAAGUUCAAAUAUUUUAUUUAAAAUAACUCUCGUGUUUUUACCAAAUCGAAUAAAUAAAAUAAACUUUCCUCGUAAAAUAUUAUCUAUCAAGUCAUUUUUAGAAAGUUGGAAAUAUAUCCAGCUAAUUGAUAAAUACUUGUAAGUAACAAGUAAUUGAAUAAAGUAAGUAACUUGCAAAGUAAUAUAUUUUUAGACAAGUACACAAAAUAACAAAUAUUCGUUUCUGAUUCUGACAAGUUAAGUACAAGUCUAAAAUUUUCUAAUUCACAGGACAAGUAUAUCCGUUGACUCAUCGUUCUGUAGAAAAGCGGGUUUGUGAAAAUUACGUACGUUAUUUUAUCAAAUGACUGGACUUAUUCAACUGACCAUGCGUUGUGAUUAGAAAAAGAAAAUAGUAAGAAAAAGAAAUGUUUUCUUGUCUCCAUCGUGACUGGAUUCUCUGCGUAUUUGUGGAAAGUAUGCAACCUUUGUCGCUAAAUCCUUACUAAUAAAAGGGACCUUUUGAGGCUCCAUAGAGCGUCCACAUCAGCGAAAAAAAAUUCUCCCGAAAGAUGACACGUGGCAUAAAAUAUAGUUUUACAUUUUAAUAUUACUAAUUUUUAAAAAUUAUAAAUAAUAUGAAACAUAGAGCAUAAAAAAUGGAAAAACUACAUUGAACAUAUGUAAAAUUACUAUUUUUCACUUUAAAAAAAAGACGGCUUAAUUCCAUAAUGUAAUAUUACCAUUUUACAUUUUUAUUUUAAAAAAAAUAAUAUGUAAACAUACAACAUAAAAAUGGAAAAACUACAUUAAACAUAUGUAAGAUUACCAUUUUUCACUAAAAAAAGACGGUUUAUCUCCAUAAUGUAACAUUACUAUUUUGUAAAAAAAAACAUUAUAUAUAAUUUCGAAAAUAAUAAAUAAUAUGUAAACAUACAACAUAAAAAAUGGAAAUACUACAUUAAACAUAUGUAAGAUUACCAUUUUACAUUUAAAAAUAACAAUAAAAUGUAAACAUACAACAUAAAAAAAUGGAAAAACUACAUUAAACAUAUGUAAGAUUACCAUUUUUCACUAAAAAAAACGGCUUAUCUCCAUAAUGUAAAAUUUCUAUUUUAUAUAAAUAGAGCAUAAUGUUAUUUUAUAUAAUUUCUAUUUUUAAAAAUUAUAAAUAAUAUGAAACAUAGAGCAUAAAAAAUGGAAAAACUACAUUGAACAUAUGUAAAAUUACUAUUUUUCACUUUAAAAAAAAGACGGCUUAAUUCCAUAAUGUAAUAUUACCAUUUUACAUUUUUAUUUUUUAAAAAAAUAAUAUGUAAACAUACAACAUAAAAAUGGAAAAACUACAUUAAACAUAUGUAAGAUUACCAUUUUUCACUAAAAAAGACGGUUUAUCUCCAUAAUGUAACAUUACUAUUUUGUAAAAAAAAAACAUUAUAUAUAAUUUCGAAAAUAAUAAAUAAUAUGUAAACAUACAACAUAAAAAAUGGAAAUACUACAUUAAACAUAUGUAAGAUUACCAUUUUACAUUUAAAAAUAACAAUAAAAUGUAAACAUACAACAUAAAAAAAUGGAAAAACUACAUUAAACAUAUGUAAGAUUACCAUUUUUCACUAAAAAAAACGUCUUAUCUCCAUAAUGUAAAAUUUCUAUUUUAUAUAAAAAAAACAUAAAUAUAACUAUUUGACUAUUUGUCCAAGUUCUUCUAUUAAACAUUGACGUUUUACAUUAAAAAUGGAAAAAUACAUUAAGAUUUAAACAUCUAUCUUAAAAUAUAAAAUAUAGAUAUUAACUAAAUAUAAAGUAUAAGAAAGAGAAAUACUCAAUAUAUUGAAAAAUAAAUAAUAAUUAAAUAUUAUAAAUAUAUAAAUAUACGAAUUAUAUAUACAAUAAUAAGUAAAUGCACAAUUUUUUAAAAAUGGAAAGAGUACAUUAAAUAUUAAACAUCUAUAUUAAAAUGUAAAAUAUAGAUAUUAAGUAAAUAGAAAGUAUAAGAAAAAGAAAUACACAACUUAAAAAUAAUGGAAAAAGUAUAUUACGAUUUAAACAUCUAUCAUAAAAUGUAAAAUAUAGAUAUUAUGCAAAUAGAAAGUAUAAAAAAAGGAAAUACACAAUUUAAAAAAAUGGAAAAAGUACAUUAGUAUUUAAACAUCUAUCUUAAAAUGUAAAUCUAUCUUAAAAUAUAAAAUUAUUAGUAAAUAGAAAGUAUAAGAAAUAGAAGUACACAAUAUAAAAAAAAAUAAUAAGUAAAUAUAUAAUAUAAGUAAAUACCCAAUUUAAAAAAUGGAAAAUUACAUUAAGAUUUAAAAAUAUAUCUUAAAAUUUAAAAUAUAGAUAUUAAGUAAAUAGAAAGUAUAACAAAUGGAAAUAUACAAUUUAAAAAAAAAUGGAAAACGUACAUUAAGAUUUAAACAUCUAUCUUAAAAUGUAAAAUAGAAAUAUUAAGUAAAUAAAAAGUACAAGAAAUGUAAAUACAUAUACAGGAAAAUAAAUAAUAAGUAAAUAAUGUAAAUAUAUAAUAUAUGAAUUAUAUAUAUAAUAAUAAGUAAAUACACAAUUUUUUAAAAAAAUGGAAAAACUUCAUUAAGCAUUAAACAUCUAUCUAAAAAUGUAAAAUAUAUAAUAUAAGUAAAUACACAAUUUUAAAAAAUGGAAAAAGUACAUUAAGAUUUAAAUAUCUAUUUUAAAAUAUAAAAUAUAGAUAUUACGUAAAUUAAAAUAUAAGAAAUGGAAAUAAACAUUUACAAAAAUGGAAAAAGUACAUUAAGAUUUAAACAUCUAUCUUAAACUGUACAUCUAUCUUAAAAUGGUAGUAAAUUAUAUAAAAAUGGAAACACCACAUUAGACAAAAAAAAUGUAUAGUUUUACAUCAAGAAAGUCCCUAAAGAACUCAUUAUUCCAUCAAUAUCAACCUCACUCUAUCAAGGAAAAGUUCAAAGCACUCGAGCAAAAAAAUGGUUCCACCAUCAACUUUUGCCGUCCCAAAAACCUUUAAUGACCUUGAAUGAGAUUUUUUAUGACAACAAAUUUUUUGUUAGGUGGAUUCAUUGUUGGGAAACCCGCAACUUCCAAAAGCCAAACUUAUUCAUGGGAAUUGAAUUGCUUUUCAUAGACUCAAAGGUAUUCUUACAAUUGUUAAUAUUCAUACUAACUCUUUCAUGAUCAAACCAUUACAGUUAAUAAUCAUUCAAGCGUUUAUCCUGAAACACUUCCUUCCUCGCCGAAUCAGGUAUUGGUUCAUGUUGGUUUAAUAUUGUUUUUGGUUUAUUAACCGGUUUAGGAUAGUCCUAUUGUAUAUAUAAUUUAAGUUGGUUUUGCAUAUAUUAUGAUUAAAAUUAAAUAAUAGUAAUAUUAUGCUUAAAAUAUAAUUUUAGAGAGUUUUCAAAUAUAGUUUAGAGAACAUUAUAGGUGAUGAAUUUAAUUUAUUAAAUUCGUUUAUUACUUAAAACUAAGUUUUUUUAAAAACAUACUGAGUUAUAAAUAUCAAUGAUGGAUUGGUGAGUAUAACAUGAAGACAAAAAUAUAAAUAUUUUAUUUUCAAGAUAAGAAAUUCAGUUACUCAAUAUAUAAUAUCUUAAAUUAUUUUUUAAAAAUAUACAUAAUUUAUAUAUAUAGAUUAAUCUUCCAAACUUAAACUAUUAUAUUAUAUAUGAAUAAUUUUUUUAAAUAAAAACAAUUUCUGAUUAAAAAAAAUAAAUAAAAACAACAAAUGGUUAAACAUCAAUAUCAUCUAGGUUAAGUAUACGAACAACACAAAUUCAAACAUCACAAAAAAUAUUUACAUAAACAUUAUAAUACAAUAAUUUAAUCAAAAAAUACAAUAAAAAAAAUAAUAUUCAAAAGAAUAGUUAUAUACUUAAAUUUGAAAAUCAAAGAUAUUUUUGCUAAAAUUGUAAUUACCUCGCCAAGAAGAUCGACCAUCUUUUUUACGGAUUGAUCGAUUGUUGAGCAUGUGGUCGAUCCGAAAAUACUCUGCAGUUUAAUUAAAUAUCUAAAACAUUUAUUCCAACACUCAACAGAUAGUUUUGCUAAAUAUGAUAACUAGAUAGCCAAUAAAAUUACAAAAAAUAUUUAAAUAGUAAAAAAUAUGUUAAUUUAACGUGUUAAAAUUUAAACAUAAAUUUUAAUUAUGACAUACAUCUUAACAUUUAUAUAAAUAUAUAUCAUAACCUAAAUAUAAAUAAUUUAACAACUUAAAUUAGAAAAAUAUAAAAAUCCCGGGCGUAGCCCGGGUUAAUCCCUAGUCCUUACUAAUAAAAGGGACCUUUUGAAGCUCCAUAGAGCGUCCACAUCAGCAAAAAAAACUUCUCCCGAAAGAUGACACGUGGCAUAAAAUAUAGUUUUAUAUUUUAAUAUUACUAAUUUUCAAAAAUUAUAAAUAACAUGUAAACAUACAGCAUAAAAAAUAGAAAAACUACAUUAAACAUAUGUAAGACUACCAUUUUUCACUUAAAAAAAGACGGAUUAUCUUCAUAAUGUAACAUUACCGUUUUAUAAAAAAAAACAUUAUAUAUAAUUUCAAAAAUAAUAAAUAUAUGUAAACAUACAACAUAAAAAAUGGAAAUACUACAUUAAACAUAUGUAAGAUUACCAUUUUACAUUUUUAUUUUAAAAAAAUAAUAUGUAAACAUUAAACAUAUGUAAGAUUACCAUCUUUCACUAAAAAAAGACGGCUUAUCUGCAUAAUGUAACAUUACUAUUUUGUAAAAAAAAACAUUAUAUAUAAUUUCGAAAAUAAUAAAUAAUAUGUAAACAUACAUCAUAAAAAAUGGAAAUACUACAUUAAACAUAUGUAUGAUUACCAUUUUACAUUUAAAAAUAAAAAUAAUAUGUAAACAUACAACAUGAAAAAAUGGAAAAACUACAUUAAACAUAUGUAAAAUUACUAUUUUUCACUAAAAAAAAACAGUUUAUCUCCAUAAUGUAACAUUACCAUUUUAUAAAAAAAAACAUAAAUAUAACUAUUUGACUAUUUGUCCAAGUUUUUCUAUAAAACAUUGCCGUUUUACAUUAAAAAUGAAAAAAUACAUUAAGAUUUAAACAUCUAUCUUAAAAUAUAAAAUAUAGAUAUUAAUAAAAUAUAAAGUAUAAGAAAGAGAAAUACAUAAUAUAUAGAAAAAUAAAUAAUAAGUAAAUAUUAUAAAUAUAUAAAUAUACGAAUUAUAUAUACAAUAAUAAGUAAAUGCACAAUUUUAAAAAAAUGGAAAGAGUACAUUAAAUAUUAAACAUCUAUCUUAAAAUGUAAAAUAUAGAUACUAAGUAAAUAGAAAGUAUAAGAAAAAGAAAUACACAACUUAAAAACAAUGGAAAAAAUUAUAUUAAGAUUUAAACAUCUAUCUUAAAAUAUAAAAUAUAGAUAUUACGCAAAUAGAAAAUAUAACAAAAGGAAAUACACAAUUUAAAAAAAAAUAAAAAAAAGUACAUUAGUAUUUAAACAUCUAUCUUAAAAUGUAAAUCUAUCUUAAAAUAUAAAAUUAUUAGUAAAUAGAAAGUAUAAGAAAUAGAAUUACACAAUAUAAAUAAAAAUAAAUAAUAAGUAAAUAUAUAAUAUAAGUAAAUACCCAAUUUAAAAAAUGGAAAAUUACAUUAAGAUUUAAAAAUAUAUCUUAAAAUUUAAAAUAUAGAUAUUACGUAAAUAGAAAGUAUAACAAAUAGAAAUAUACUUUUUUUAAAAAUGGAAAACGUACAUUAAGAUUUUAACAUCUAUCUUUAAAAGUAAAAUAAAGAUAUUAAGUAAAUAAAAAGUACAAGAAAUGGAAAUACAUAUACAGGAAAAUAAAUAAUAAGUAAAUAUUUAAAUCUAUAAUAUAUGAAUUAUAUAUAUAAUAAUAAGUAAAUACAUAAUUUUUCUAAAAAAAACGGAAAAAGUUCAUUAAGCAUUAAACAUCUAUCUUAAAAUGUAAAAUAUAUAAUAUAAGUAAAUACACAAUUUACAAAAAAAGGAAAAAGUACAUUAAGAUUUAAAUAUCUAUUUUAAAAUAUAAAAUAUAGAUAUUACGUAAAUAAAAAAUAUAAGAAAUGGAAAUAAACAUUUAAAAAAAUAGAAAAAAUACAUUAAGAUUUAAACAUCUAUCUUAAAUGUACAUAUAUCUUAAAAUGGUAGUAAAUUAUAUAAAAAUGAAAAUACCACAUUAAACAAAACAAAAAUUAAAAUGUACUCCCUCCGUUUCAAAAUAGAUGAUGUUUUAGAGAGUUUUUGAUGUUUCAAAAUAGAUGAUGUUUUCAUAUUUCAAGGUAUCUUUUAACUUUAUCAAAAACUGUGUAACCAAUUAUAUUUUGUAGUAUGUUUUGUGAUUGGUUGAAUAAUUUUUAAUUUAUAUUUUAGUGAUACUUUUUAGAUAAAAAACAAGUUUUUUAAUAUUUGUGUCCCAACCUAAAACUUCAUGUAUUUUGAAACAGAGGGAGUCAAGAAAGUCCAUAUAAAACUCAUUAUUCCAUCAAUAUCAACCUCACACUAUCAAGGAAAACUUCAAAGCACUCGAGCAAAAAAAUGGUUCUACCAUCAACUAUUGCCGUCUCAAAAACCCUUAAUGACUUUGAAGGAGAUUUUUUAUAACAACGAACUUUUUGUUAGGUGAAUUCAUUGUUGGGAAACCCACAACUUCCAAAAGCCAAACUUAUUCAUGGGAAUUGAAUUGCUUUUCAUAGACUCAAAGGUAUUCUUACAAAUUUAAAUUAAUCUAAUCCAUCAUUUUAUUGUUAAUAUUCAUACUAACUAUUUCAUGAUCAAACUAUUACAGUUAAUAACCAUUCAAGCAUUUAUCCCGAGACACUUCAUUCCACGCCGAAUCAGGUAUUGGUUCAUGUUGGUUUAGUAUUGUUUUUGGUUUAUUAACAGGUUUAGGAUGGUCCUAUUGUAAAUAUAAUUGAAGUUAGUUUAGCAUAUAUUAUGCUUAAAAUAACUUAAAUUAAAUAAUAGUAAUAUUAUGCUUAAAAUAUAAUUUUAGAGAGUUUUCAAAUAUAGUUUAUAUAACAUUAUAGGUGAUGAAUUUAAUUAUUAAAUUCGUUUAUUACUUAAAACUAAGUUAUUUUAAAAACAUACUGAGUUAUAAAUAUCAAUGAUGGAUUGGUGAGUAUAACAUGAAGACAAAAAUAUAAAUAUUUGAUUUUCAAGAUAAGAAAUUCAGCUUUUACUCAGUUACUCAAUAUAUAAUAUCUUAAAUUAUUUUUUUAAAAAAUAUACAUAAUUUAUAUAUAUAGAUUAAUCUUCCAAACUUAAACUAUUAUAUUAUAUAUGAAUAAUGUUUUUAAAUAAAAAUAAUUUCUGAUUUAAAAAAGAAAAUAAAAAACAACAAAUGGUUAUUUUCAAAUAAUGGAUAUAAUUUACAUUAUACUAUCAUUUAACAAGUAUUAGAUACGUUUUGAUAUAUCAUUAUUUUCUAUUUCCAGAAAACAAUAAAUUGUUAAACAUCAAUAUCAUCUAGAUUAAGUAUACGAACAACACAAAUUCAAAUAUCACAAAAAUAUUUACAUAAACAUUAUAAUACAAUAAUUUGAUCAAAAAAUACAAUUAAAACAAUAUUUAAAAUAAUAGUUAUAUACUUAAUAUCUGAAAAUCAAAGAUAUUUUUGCUAAAAUUGUACUUACCUGGCCAAGGAGAUCGACCAUCUUUUUACGGAUCGAUUGAUUGUUGAGCAUGUGGUCGAUCCGAAAAUACUCUACAGUUUAAUUUAAUAUCUAAAACAUUUAUGUUAACACUCAAGAGAUAGUUUUGCUAAAUAUGAUAAUUAGAUAGCCAACAAAAUUACAAAAAAUAUUUAAAUAGUAAAAAAUAUGUUAAUUUAAAAUGUUAAAAUUUAAAAAUAAAUUUUAAUUAUGACAUGCAUCUUAACAUUUAUAUAAAUAUAUAUCAUAACCUAAAUAUAAAUAAAUUAACAACUUAAAUUAGAAAAAAAUAAAAAUCCCGGGCGUAGCCCGGGUUAAUCCCUAGUCUAUACUAUAUAAAAGUUGAGGCUAUAAGCCAUUGAGAGCGUCCACGUAGGAUGUUAAACGACCAAUCGUAAUAUGACAAAUCAUUAUUUUAGUUUACUAUUUUGAAAAAUGUUAAUGUUACAAAAAAAUAAUCAUUUAUUUCAAACUAAAAUAUAAAUCGAUAUCACAUAAGGUAAAUUUACAAAAUUAUAAAUACUAUAUUAAUUUAACUUAAUGUUUAACAUUUUUCAAAAAUAAAAAAGAAAUAACCAAAAUAAUAUUUAAUUUAAAAUAUAUACUCAUGAUUCAAAUUUAAAUAACUAUAUAAAUCUAAAUUUAAACUCAUGAUUUUCAAAAUUUAGGUUAUAUACUAUUGAAAAUAUUCAAAAAUAACAUAUAAUAUAUAUAAUUUGAUAUUAUUAAUCAUUCAGAAUGUUCACAUAUUAUUUUAAAGCACCAAAACAUAUACCAAUUGUCUUUUUUUGGUAUUUCUAAAAGUGUUUAUAUUACGAAAUUUUUUAUUUCAAAAUAAAAUAUAAAUAAGUAUCAAAUAAAUUAAACUUACAAAAUUUAAAACACCAUGUACAAAUCUAUACUAUAUAAAAUAAAGUUUCGAAAACUAACAUAAAAAUAACAAACAAAUAUAAUAGUUAAUUUAAAAAUGCAAUACUUUCAAACAAUUAUAUCUAUAUAAAUCUACAACACACUAUUUACAAAAUUUAGGUUAUAUAAUAUUCAACCAAAAUAUGUACUAUAUGUAAUUUGAUGCAUUAAAUCAUUGAAAAUAUCCACAUAUUAUUUUAAAGCACCAAAAUAUGUCAAAUUACCAUUUUAAUUAUCAUUUUAAAAUUUCAAGAUUUUCAAAAAAAUGUUUAUUUCAAAAUAAAAAGGAAACUACUAUUUAAUUUAUUGAAAAAUGCAAAAUUAUUAAAGGAAUCAAUUUGGUAUAUAAACUAAAUCUUUGAAAGACCAACAUAAAAUUAACUAAAAAGAAUCUUAAAAUAUAAGAAUUUCAAAUAAUAAAAACAGUGUGAAUCUAAAGCACUUUCCGUUAGAUAUAAAUCUAACAAAAUAUGAUUUCAAAAUGGAAGCUAUUUCUUUCAAAAUAAUAUCAUUAAUAAAUUUAGUAAACAAAAAUUCCAAAUAACUAAAAGAAUCAGUUUAUUAUAAAAAUUAAAUCUUUAGAAGAUCAACAUAAAAUUAAGUAACAAAAAUAAUCUUAAAAAUAUAAGGAUUUCAAAUAAUAAAGACAAUAUAAAUCUAAAGCACUAUUUCAUUACAUAUGAAUCUAUAACAUAUGAUUUCAAAAUUUAGGAUAUAUAUAGUGUUCACAUAGAAUUUAAAAAUAUCAUUAUAAUAAUAUAAAAAAUCAGCAUUUUAAUUUGAUAAAGUAAGUAAAGAUAUUAUUUUAUUAAAAAUAAUUAACUUGAUAUAUAAAAUAAAUUUAUAAUUGACAUUAAACAGAAAAUAACAAAAAUAAAAAUAUUUCAAAAAGAAAUAAAGUUAAAAAACAAAUUAUUUAUAAAUAAUCACGUAAGUAAAAAUAAAUAAAAAUCAACAAAAACUAUAAAAAGAUAAAUUAAAAUUUGUAAAAAAUAUCUUUAAAGUUAGACUGAUAUUUAUGCUAAUUAUUGAAAACUAACAUAAUAAGAUAUUGACAAGAAAAAAUCUAAUUAUGUCUGUAACCUUUAAUACGAUAUGGACUACAUCCUUUAAAAAUCAGAAAUAACUUAGAAUAUCAAUAAUAAUAUUUAAAGUCAGCAUAAUAAGCUAAUAUUUUAAUAAACCUUAAAUUUUAUUAAAAAAUAAAGCAAAACUAAAAAAAAUUCUUACUUGAUAUAUAUGCUAACUCUUCAUUAAUUAACGUCAAAAUUAUAAAAUUAUGUUUUAAAGUAUGUCAGAACAUACAAAUAGCUUAUAAAUCAAAUUAAAAUAAAUACUUAAUAUCAUAGUACUUAAUAUGAGCUAAUAAAUAUAAAAGGUAAACUGAAAUUUAGUAUUUGUUUUUUAUUUAUAUUGGUCUCAGCUAUAAAAUAUUGUAAAUUUAUAAUAUGUCAUAUGAGUUUCUUAGAAAAAUAAUGGUUGAUUGUGAUUCUUUUUUUUACCGAGCCAAUUUAUUAUUUAGUUUACAAUAAGUUACAAAGCUCUGUAAGAAAUAAGUGAUUGUAACAAUAAUUUACAUAUGUAAAAAAUAUAUUGUUAAACAAGUUGUCUAUUUAUGUUUUUUAAAAUCAUUUACCUAUGUGUUCUCAAGCUGUUUUUAUCAAUAAAUGAAUAAACAUAGUUAUAUAGUAAUCAAAAAUUUAAAUUUAAUAAAUUUUGACAUAUAUGUUUAUAAGAAAAUCAUUAUCAAAAUAUUCAUUAAACUAAUCAAAUAUGUUUUUAAGAAAAACUCUAAAUAUUUUGUAAUCAAUAAGCUUUUUUGAAUAUGGUCAUUAAAAAUUAUGCAAACUAUAUGGUGACUUUUCAUAAGUCUUUAGUGAAAUUCACCGAUAAAAUUUAUAGGACAUAUGCUUAUAAAAAUUUAUUAAAGAAAUUAACAUAACAUAUAAAAUUAAAAAUGAUCUCACCAAAUUCUAUCAAUGAAAGAUAUUUGAAACAAAAUGUUAUUAAAACAUACGACAACAUAAAAUAAUCAAAGAGGCUAAAAAUUAAAGUAUAUUAGUUGAAAAUUCUAAUAAUAUUUACAAAUAAUAUUGACAUUAGAGUAUAGUCUCAGGCUCUCAGUGACAACAGAAAAUAAAGAUAUAAAAAAUAUUCAUUAUAUAUUCGUCAGUUGGAAAAUAUAAUAUAUAAGUUUAUGAAAUAUGAUGUGAACUAAUAAAACAUCAUAAUCACGCCAUUAAUUAAUAUUGUAACUAGAUCAAGUAGAAGAUGUAUAUAAUAUUUUUUAGUUAUAUAUGUUUAUUUUAAUAAAUUAAAUAUUAUUUAACAUUAGUUUAAAGUUGUACAUAUUUAUUUCUCUUUUUGUUAUAUCUAAAAUAAUAUUACUAUUUAAAUUUCAUUAAAAUAUUUAUUAUUAUUUAACUCUAAAUAUAAUACUAAUAAAUAUGCAUUUAAGCCACUUUAAGAUGAUUAUUUCAAAUACAGAUAUUCACAAAAAUAUAUAAUAAAUAUACUUUCAUUGUAAAAAUUUGGUUAAUACAAAGUAAAGCUAGAUAUUAUGCAUAUACAUUAAGUUCUUAUGUUUUUCAAAUAGAAAGACAGAUGAAAAUAUUAUAAUAAAAAUAAUUAUAACAGUGUAUUAUUUUUUAAUAAGAAUAAAAUGAUCAAUAUAUAUUUUUAAAAUAAUAUUAAUAAACAAUAUAUAAAAAAAGAUUAAUGAACAAUAUAAACAUGUUUAUAAAUACACUUACACAUUUACAUAUACAAAAAAAGAUAUCUAAAUAGAAAAAAUAAUAAAGCAUACUUCGAAUAAAACUUCAUAUAAAAAUGCAUAUAAACCAAUUAUAGUUCAUUAUCUUAAAAUUAGUAUAAAAUGAUACAAAUUAUUAAAAUAAACUCGCGCGUAGCGCGAGUCAAAAAUCUAGUUAUUAUAUAAUAGGAGUGGUCAUAUAAUAUAACAAAAACAAAACAGCGUUAACAUAAAUUCUUUCAAUAAAAAAAAAUUAACAAAAAUAUAUAACUAAAACAUAUUUCUAUUCUAAAAAUAAUGUAUAACAAAAAAAAUUCAAAAUAACACUAACGAAAAGGUUUCGAAAUUUUAUUUUUGUAUUUAAGUUUGAAUUUAGUCAUUAAAGUUUAAACUUUAUACUUUAGAAUUUAGUAAUUAGGAGAUGAAAAUUAGGAUAAACAUUUAAAUUUUGGUGUAAUUUUAUCAUUUUACAUAUUAAUUAAUUUUGUUAUAUAAUUUGGAGAUUUUCAACACAAUGAUCAAAUUUUACAUUAAAAUUUUGGACUUUUCAAGAUUAUAAAGCAUAUUCAAUACAAUUCUAUUUUUGUCAUAUUUUAUUUACGAAAUUUCCCCAAAAGUAUAUUGUAAUGUAUUUUUAAAUACCCUAACAAUAAAUAUAAACUAAUUGCCUUUGUAAAGUAUCGUUGUUUGAAAUGAUUUUGCACCAUUCCAUAGAAUGGUGACAUCAGAUUGCUAUGAAUCCCCGAGAAAUGCAUAUAAUCCCCCUAUAUAUUAAAUAAGAAGUCACUAUUUCCGAUGACGUGUCGUUCAUAGGUAAAAUUUCAAGAAAUUGUUAUAAUUUGAUUGGUCGAUUGUUUUAAUUUUUAUUUAUUUAAAUUAGAUCUAAAAAUUUAAAGCAAGUCUAAAAACAUUUAACAUCACUUGCCAUAUAAUCUAAAGAAUAUUACAAAUAACAAUUUAUGGCAAAUAAUUCUCGAAAAUAUAGAAAGAUUAAUAAUUUUUUAUUUAUUACUUUUAAUAAUUAUAAACUAUAAAAUAUAAUGAACGAAUUUUUAUAUAAGAUAAUUAUAAUAGUUUUAUACUCUACUUGAUGAAUUGUAUUCAAAUAUAAUUAUAUAAUAACUAUUUUAAAUAUUACAAAAUCCAAACAUGUUUAUUUAUAUGAUUUUUAAAUUAUUUAUCGUUGUUUACAGAAUAAAUUUACCAGAAUUUUAAAAUUAUUUAUAUAAUGUUUUAAAUUAUUUAUAAAAAUAUAAAUCCUACUAUAUAUUGAUUGAAAAGUCACAUAAGUGAUUUUUUAUUACGUGUUGAUCAUUUAUAGAAGCUUAUACAUUAAUUUUUCAAAUGUAUUUUGAAAAUUUAUCCUUCUAUUACAAUAUUUUGAAUUUUUUCAUUUUUAAUGGUAAAAUUCUUCAACUAUGUUUACUUAGUGUAGAAACUCCUAAACUAAAGAUUUACUGGUAGUAAUGGUAAUUAUGACCUGUUAGAGUUUAAUUCAUUAAAUAAAUUUAGUUUAGGCGGUUUUUCGUUAAAUACUUAGUUUGAGGGUUUUUACCCAAAACAAACUUAGUUGAGGGGUUUUAACUUUAAAAAUUAUUAUUCUUUCCUUAUUAUAUAUUAUUUAAAUCCUUAUAGUGGAAUUUGUUUUAUCAAAAAUCAGUUGCAAUCAACUGACGAGAUAUCUUCUUUCCAAAUAUCAUAAAUUUAAUAUUUAAAUAUAUAUAUAUAUAUCAAAAUUUGAGUUACCAAAAUUAUGUAUAUAUUAUAACUAGAAUAUCUGUAAAAUUUUAUUAAAAAAUAUUCUAUCUCAUAGCUGAAUUAAAAUUUAUUAGAGGAUAUUAUAUCUCAUAGCUUCUCUUGAAAGCUAGGUCAUUUAGAAACUUAAACUAAUUUGAUAUAUAAAUAUCACGCCACUCCUAUUAGUGAUGUUAGGAGUUUUCAAGGCUCCUAAGACAAAUGUUGUAGUAUAAAAGAUUGUCGAACCAGUUCUGAGGGAUAUCAAAGCACUGAGAAUGCAAGUACUCACUUAAUCUAAGUGCAACCAAUGAUUUAGAUGGGUUUUAAGCUAUGACUAAACUAAAAAGCAAUAACAGAAUGAUACUUUCUUGACUAAGGGAAAAGAGAAUUCAUGGGCAUAGGGAUUAGACCUUGGGUGAUCAAGUAUCGAACUAAGGAUGGCAAAUGAUCAAUCAAACUAUCAACCUUAAGCCUAGACACAAUUCUAAGCAAGCUCUAUGUCUAGAUGAAUGCUCAUUUGCUAACACAUCUCAAACAUCAAAUGUCUUUGGUUGAAUAAUAUGAAAGCAAUCAUUACUAACAAGUCUAUUAGCUAUCUUAGCACCUUUAACAACAAAUAUCUUUGGCAAAGUAUACUAAAAGCCUAGGAGAGUUGUCUCGGGCAUUUCAUCGAACACCUUUCGGGUGAGAAAUGCCUAAGGAUCAACAACUGAGUGGCCAACUCAGAAGAUGCAUUAUGAUUACUCUACUAGCAAGGAAAUAUGAAUGAUCUACACUAAAACAUCCUAGCUCUAACCUAAUCACCCUUAAUCUCCCUAACCCAUGAAUUCCAAAGGUGAUUACUCACUAAUCUCCAUGAUUCCUCUUAAACCCAUAUUGGAUUUCAGAUUAAUCAUGUAGAGAAACACAGGAAAUAGAUAAGAACACAUAAUUCUCAAUAAUAAACUGAUCAAUUCAUUCAAAGAGAUCCCUUUCCAAAGGUUUUUGGUGGUUUUUUCUAAGAAACAAGAUGAUGUGCCUCCUGGUGGCUUACAGAGUAAUAAAACAUAGGUUUAGAAAAUAAAAACGUGCAUAAUGAAAUGACCAAAAUGCCCUUGAGAAAUCACAAGUUCGAGCAGAAACAAAACACGGAGCGACCUCAGCCCGUCGCUCCGACAAGUCGCUCCAGGCUUCGGGAGCGACCUCGCUGUGUCGCUGCGAGAGGUCGCUCCGGGCUCGUUCUCGCGUCUCCGGGUGAUGAAAACGCGAGCGACUUCUCCCUGUCGCUCUGGUAUGGUCGCUCUGAGCUUCGGGAGCGACUUCAGCACGUCGCUCUGGAAGGUCGCUCCGAGGUGUAAAUGUGUGUCUCCAGACGUGAAAACGCGAGCGACCUUGUGCAGUCGCUCUGGAUGAGUCGCUCCGGGAUGUGGUGCACAGCGACCUCAUGCCGUCGCUCCGAGAGGUCGCUCCGGCUGUGCUCGUCCAAAGAUCACUCUUUUCACCUCUUUUGAGCUCCAAAUAACCUUAUGUGGUACUCCAGUACCUAAUAGAGACUCAUGUAUGCAAAAUGCAACCUAAACAUGUCUGAAUCCUAAUCUAUAUGAUGAAAAUGCUCAUGGAUGAAUGGAUAAAACAAUGCAAAUAUGCAAGAUAUCAACUCCCCCAAACUUGUUCUUUUACUUGUCCACAAGUGAACUUUCUAGAACUCAUAGGAAGAGAGGUUGAAGGUGGGAGCACAUAGCCAAAAGAAACACAACUAGCACACUCUCUUAUUACACUCUAGCUUCUCUAGGCCUAUCUUAACUCUUUUUGUUCUUACACUCAUCAUCAAGCAUCCACACAUUCAAAUCAACCAACUCUCACAUUCAUUAAGCACAAAACAUCAGGUGAAUUCUUGCAAAUGGUCAGUUGGUCCAAGUCAUUUGGUUGGGUAAGGGAAGGCUUUUUUCAAGUGAUUCAAGAGGUUCAAAACAUAUGAUCUUUAAGGUGGUUUACUCUCAAAACAAGUAGCCUUGACAUUGCACAUAAUAUAUCUAAGAAAGGGACCAACUCAUGCAUACAAUGCUCAAUCUCCAUUGUUCUACCCUUUUCCCAAACAUAUCAUUACACAAUCAUUCCCAAAUGUCAAACCCAACUCACAUCUCUCACCAAAAGAUCUUAAGAACUUUAACUCUUUCUUUUUGAAAUCUACAAGGGAUUUUUCUACAACCUCAAAACAUUUCUUAGCUCCUAACAACUUUGCUAGCCCCCCUUUUUCUUUUCUUUUUUCUUUUUUUUUUUCUUUUCUCUUUUUUCAUUUCUCCCAAAUCAUAAUCACAACACUCACCCCCACCUAUAGCUAGACAAUAGAGUGUCCAAUCUAACAAGAAUGAAGAUCAAGCAUUGUCGUUCCCGAUACUCUCAACAUUAUGCACAUGUAAGACUUUCCGAAAAAGGCCUCACUCAUCAAACAAUGAAAGCUUAAAAGGAGGAAAAAGUUUUGGGAGUGGUCUACCACUAGAGUUUGUCAAAAAAAGAUUGGUAUAAAAGAUGUGACAACUCAAGUGUGUAUAGCCAUGACUCAGUACACAAGGGACCAUGAGCAAGAAGCAUUAAGUUCGUUCAGUUCAAAUUAGGUUGUAGUUGGCUUCAAAGACUGAGUUUCAGCAAUCAACAAGUUUCAGGAAGAGUUUUCAAGGCUCGAAACAUACAAGUCUUUUUGAGAGGUGCAAAAGCUAGUCAAGUGCAACGUAGUGUUCUUUACAAGGCAUUCAAAAUCAUUGCUCCCAAUGCAAGUGAAUGCAACCUAUAUGCUCUAGACUCUCCUAAAAAUGCAAAUGAUGCAAACUAAAUGAUUGAUUUUUUUUUUUUAUCUAUGCAAAUAGGUAUGCCAUGCAUGACUCAAUGAAACAACAUCAAAGCAAACAUGAUCAAAUACUUGGUACCUCCCCCAAACUUGAGUUACACAGUCUCUGUGUCGUCAAGUAGAGAGAGAUACCGAAAAGAAGACUAAUAUGCAAAAAUGAAAUGGUAUAUACAAGGGAGUGUGGUGGGUUACCUUCUAUAGGGAAUGAGUAGAGGGAGAUGCUCCCUCCUCGUCGUCCUCAGGUGGUAACUCUUCAAGGUGCUCAUCAGCAGGGGUGUCCAUCUCUUCAAUGUAGAAGGCUUGCCCGAACACAGUUGGUUUCCUCAUUUUCCUCUUGAUGUCAAAGUGGAGGAUGUUCUCUUUACCCAAAUGGAGAUCAAUCGUGCCUUCCUUCACAUUAACAAUAGCUCCUGCUGUAGCUAAGAAUGGCCUUCCUAGAAUCAAUGGAUCUUGAGCCUCCUCACCCAUCUCAAGCACCACAAAAUCUGUAGGUAUCUCAUACCUUCCAAUCUUCACAGGGAGGUCCUCUAAGAUGCCCACAGGGUACUUCACUGAACGAUCAGCUAACACCAGAGAGAGUCUACACUUCUUGUACUGAGUGAAUCCAAGCUUCUUUGCAACAGACAAAGGCAUCAAGCUGACACUAGCUCCCAAAUCGCAGAGACUUUUCUCAAAUACCAUAGGUCCAAGAGCACAAGGUAGUGUGAAGCUUCCUGGAUCCUCUAAUUUCUCUGGAACAUCAAGCCUCUGGAUGAUGGCAUUGCACUCAUGGGUAAGAUUCAUCAUGCUUUCCAUCUCCUUCUUCUUUGCAGCUACAACAUCUUUCAGGAAAUUGUUGUAUUGAGGAAUCAACAUGAAAGCAUCGAUGAUGGGCAUUGCAACCUGAGCUUCACUCAUUUGCUUCUCAAACAGAGCUUUGUAUUUCUCUAGCAGCUGCUUCUUGAAUCUACCAGGGAAUGGAAGUUUGGGUUCAUAGGGAGGAGGAACAAAAGAACUUUCACUUGCUGGAGUAACAACUUCACCAUCCUUUACUGUCUUCUUCUCCUCUCCAACCUUUCCUUUACCUUUGGCUUCCACUAUCUUCUCCAAGAUCUCGUCAUUGAUCUUCUCAUCAACAAUCACCACUUCAUCAUCUAUGUUGAUGGCAACCCCCUCACCUAAUUUCUCAGCAUCCUUGGUGAGGGUUCUAGGAGGUAACUGCUUACCGCUCCUAAGGGUGAUAGCUUUGGCCUCCUUGGGAUUUUGGUCAGACUUUCCAGGUAGAGAUCCUUGCUGGCGAUUCUGGUGAGUGUUCAUGGAAGCAAAUUGAUUCUCUAAAUUCCUGACUGUAGAAGCAAGGUGUGAGAAUUUGUUGUUGAGCUCAUUGUAGCUCCCAUCAAUCUUGGAAUGAAGGUUCUUCAACUCAUAACCAACUUGCUUCUCACUUCUAGUCUGAGACUCCAAGAUUUGCUUCAGUAAGGUAUCAGUGCUGCUCUCUUGAGGAGCAGAGGAACCAGACGAGGGGUUUUGCUGAGGCUGAUAGCUGCCUUGCUGGUUGUUUCUUUGCGGAUAGCCACUCUGCUGGUUGUUGGAAUAGGACUUCUGUUGGUAGUUGUGGUACUGAAAGUUGGGUUCUUUCUUGUACCAGCUACCAUUGUUGUUGAUGAAACACAGCUCUUCCUGACCUUCCAAACCCUCAACUUCAUGGACAAUAGCUGGUGUCUCUUGGCUUGGGUUGCCGACAAAGUGCAGCUGCUCUUGGGUAGCUUUAUCAGCAAGGAGGAUGUCUAUCUUAUCCUGUAGAGCUUUCAACUCCUUCCUCGUUUGCUUAUCCUCAGUUCUACUGCUUCUGUCGUGGUCUCCACUGUAGACUGCAUCACUCUUUACCAUGUUGUCAACCAGUUCUUCUGCAUCCUCCUCAGUUCUCCCCAAGAAGAACCCAUUGCUAGCUGUAUCCAGUCUGGCUCUGUACUUAGGAAGAGCACCACGGUAGAAUGUGCUCAGCAAGCUCUCCUUAGAAAAGCCAUGGUGUGGGCAUUGAGCUUGGUAGCCCUUGAAUCUCUCCCAGGCUUCACUGAAGCCUUCCAAGUUCUUCUGUUGAAAGCUGGAAAUCUCGUUUCUCAGCUUAGCAGUUCUUGAAGUAGAGAAGAACUUCUCCAAGAAUGCUUUCUUGCAGUCAUCCCAAGUAGUGAUGGAGUCACUGGGUAGAGACUUCUCCCACUGACGUGCCUUAUCCCCCAAAGAGAAAGGGAAUAGCUUGAGCUUUAAGGCAUCUUCGGACACACCAUUGGUUUUUGACAACCCACAGUAGCUGUCGAACCUGUCCAAGUGAUCAAAUGGAUCCUCUAGAGCCAAGCCAUGAUACUUGUUGUUCUCGAUCACGUUGAGGAGUCCUGAUUUGAUCUCAAAGUUGUUGGCUGCCACAGCGGGUGCUCGGAUUCCCAAUCUAUGACCAUGAAUGUUGGGGCGGUCGUAAGUGCCAAUGGGUCGAGCUGCUCGCUGUUGGUUUUGAGGUAUGUCUCCCAUAUCAGUACUCAAUCUCUGCAAGUGAGCCUGUUGCUCUUCUUCUCUUCUAUUUCUAGCACACUCUCUCUCUAAAGCUCUGAUGUCUGCAGCUAUUGGAACUAGGUUUGAUGGACCCCUGCUCCUCAAGUUCAUACACCUGUAGAUUAAAGGGAGGUGAAGAAAGAGAAUCAGUAACAAAAGAAAAUAAAAAUGACUUAGUCUCAAGCAAGUGACUAAAUCUCAAUGUUCAAAUCUACUCAGAAUUUGGCAACGGCGCCAAUUUGAUGUUAGGAGUUUUCAAGGCUCCUAAGACAAAUGUUGUAGUAUAGAAGAUUGUCGAACCAGUUCUGAGGGAUAUCAAAGCACUGAGAAUGCAAGUACUCACUUAAUCUAAGUGCAACCAAUGAUUUAGAUGGGUUUUAAGCUAUGACUAAACUAAAAAGCAAUAACAGAAUGAUACUUUCUUGACUAAGGGAAAAGAGAAUUCAUGGGCAUAGGGAUUAGACCUUGGGUGAUCAAGUAUCGAACUAAGGAUGGCAAAUGAUCAAUCAAACUAUCAACCUUAAGCCUAGACACAAUUCUAAGCAAGCUCUAUGUCUAGAUGAAUGCUCAUUUGCUAACACAUCUCAAACAUCAAAUGUCUUUGGUUGAAUAAUAUGAAAGCAAUCAUUACUAACAAGUCUAUUAGCUAUCUUAGCACCUUUAACAACAAAUAUCUUUGGCAAAGUAUACUAAAAGCCUAGGAGAGUUGUCUCGGGCAUUUCAUCGAACACCUUUCGGGUGAGAAAUGCCUAAGGAUCAACAACUGAGUGGCCAACUCAGAAGAUGCAUUAUGAUUACUCUACUAGCAAGGAAAUAUGAAUGAUCUACACUAAAACAUCCUAGCUCUAACCUAAUCACCCUUAAUCUCCCUAACCCAUGAAUUCCAAAGGUGAUUACUCACUAAUCUCCAUGAUUCCUCUUAAACCCAUAUUGGAUUUCAGAUUAAUCAUGUAGAGAAACACAGGAAAUAGAUAAGAACACAGAAUUCUCAAUAAUAAACUGAUCAAUUCAUUCAAAGAGAUCCCUUUCCAAAGGUUUUUGGUGGUUUUUUCUAAGAAACAAGAUGAUGUGCCUCCUGGUGGCUUACAGAGUAAUAAAACAUAGGUUUAGAAAAUAAAAACGUGCAUAAUGAAAUGACCAAAAUGCCCUUGAGAAAUCACAAGUUCGAGCAGAAACAAAACACGGAGCGACCUCAGCCCGUCGCUCCGACAAGUCGCUCCAGGCUUCGGGAGCGACCUCGCUGUGUCGCUGCGAGAGGUCGCUCCGGGCUCGUUCUCGCGUCUCCGGGUGAUGAAAACGCGAGCGACUUCUCCCUGUCGCUCUGGUAUGGUCGCUCUGAGCUUCGGGAGCGACUUCAGCACGUCGCUCUGGAAGGUCGCUCCGAGGUGUAAAUGUGUGUCUCCAGACGUGAAAACGCGAGCGACCUUGUGCAGUCGCUCUGGAUGAGUCGCUCCGGGAUGUGGUGCACAGCGACCUCAUGCCGUCGCUCCGAGAGGUCGCUCCGGCUGUGCUCGUCCAAAGAUCACUCUUUUCACCUCUUUUGAGCUCCAAAUAACCUUAUGUGGUACUCCAGUACCUAAUAGAGACUCAUGUAUGCAAAAUGCAACCUAAACAUGUCUGAAUCCUAAUCUAUAUGAUGAAAAUGCUCAUGGAUGAAUGGAUAAAACAAUGCAAAUAUGCAAGAUAUCAAUUAGUUUCAUGCAUCUAUCUUUUAAGUUUUCAUAUGUUUUUGAUCGUUUUAAUUUAAAUUCUACUUUUGUGAUCUUGCGCAGGUGUAUGAUAAUCAAUAAGUAACUCAUAGACGGGAACACCACUACUGGUAAUUUUAUGGGGGAUUCUUCUUCUCCGUUUAUUUUUGUUCUCUUUCUCUCCAUGUUGUAUCUCUAUCUACAUUUUUGUAUCAGUAGUGAUUCAACUAACAAAAAGAGACGACUUUGUGUAUCCAGAAACUGAUCAUCCAUUUCGAAAAAAGUAUUCUUUUUUUAUAAAGUUAAAUCACUUAUCAAAAAUAUAAUAUAAGAUGUGUAUGCUAAUCAAGUGCAAUUUAUUUAUUGUGCGUGAUCCUCUUCAGAUAUGUCUGAGAGCCAAAAGUAAUCUCAAAACUUUUCAAAAACUUUGAAACUCACUAUAAGGAUGCAAGCAGAUCACCUAGAGUUAAGAUCAUAUGCAUAUUAACCACAUACAUGUAACAUAAGUAUUAUAUAGUUGUAAAUAUAUAAUUAUCAAUUUAAUAUUAAUGUUAACACCAGCACAUGCGUGCGGACGGUCCACCUAGUUCGUAAAUAAAUAGAUAGACGUAAAUAUAGAUAUUGUACUUGACAUAGAUAUUGAAGGUUACUAUAGACCACUUUAAAUCCUGAAUAUAAAACUGGAAAGGAUUUAGCAUAUCCUCGGUUCAGUUAUUAAUCCUCAUAUUAAAAUAGAUAUAUGUUUAUGUAUAUUAAUAAAUAUAUUUAUAAAUUAAAUUCUUUAUGUUUUAAUAAGAUAGGUAGAUAUGUAUUUAAGUUUUUAUAUGCUAGAUAAAUUCCACUUCUAUAUGUAUUUUUGAGAAUGUUAAAAUGAAACUUAUUUGUUGUAUUCUUAUAAUUCCAAUAUAUUUGUAAAAUAUAUUAAUCAUCACAUUAUUUAACAUAUAUUUAAAAAUAAUAUACGUGAAUAUAUAACAUCUCAAGUUUGUAGUCAAAUUUUAAAUAAAUUUGUUUAUGCUAAAUUUGGUUAGAGAAUAAUCUAGUUAUAAAAUAACCCUAAGUUUGGUAUAUCUGCUUAGAGAAAAAUCUAACAAAAUAAAUGAUUUGUGGUUAAUUAAUUAAAUUUAAUAAGCUUGGAUAGAGAAAAAUCUAACAAAAUAAAUUAUUAGUGCUUAAUUAAUUAAUUUCCUAUAUAUUAAUUGAAAAAAUAUUACAACUUAUUUUGUAGCACAUGAUCAAUAGGAUGAUUUUUAAAAUCAUUAGAAAAAUAUUUGUGUCCAUUUAAUUAUAUAAUAAGUUUUUUUAUUAAACAAACCAUAUAUUCACUAUUAAUAUUAUUAAUUAUUUUCAUAAAUAAUAGUUUUGAAAUUGUCUAAUGUGGCUAAACUAUAUAUGACAAUUAAUGAUUUUUGAAUAAUAAAGAUUUGAUGAAAAUUAGUGUAUCGUCUAUCAUAUUUUUUUUAUUUUAAAAAAUUAAAAUAAAUUAAACAACCACAAUAAUCAUCAUAGGGGAAAUUUCAUAUUUACCAUUUUCAUGGUACCACUUUUCAUCUUUGCCACCACUAAAGAGACAUUUUCAAAAAUACAUUCUUCAUUAAGUGACAAAAGACUCUUAUACACUUGUUCUCUAUAUAUAUAUAUAAUAAAUCAUUAUUUAAAUAAAUAUAAAAAUAAAAAACAACAACUUUUUUUAAUGUUUUCGAAUUAUACUUUUGAUAUUUGAAAUUUUUAUAAAACCUUUUUUGAGUUUUUUUUACGAAUUGUUUUUAUUUUUUUCAAAUUAUCUUUUUGAAAAUCAAAAAUUAUGUUUGAAACUAUUUUUUAUAUUUUGUAAGUAUUUAUUUAUAUAUUUAUUAGAAUCCUAAAUUUCAUAUUCCAAAAACCCUACUUCACAUCUUAACUCUAAACAAUAAGUCUAGAUUAGUUAAUCCUAAAGAUAUAAGUGUCUUCUACCAUUCAUUAAAAGUGAAGAAAAAAGUGAUUAGUGUAGACAUGAAAGUGUUACUAUGAAUGUGAUAUUUGUGGUAAUUUCUCAUAAUCAUAUAAUAAGAAAUUAGAUUUUUUCUGUAUAUGUUAUAUUUUUGAUUUUUUUUAAAUGACUAUAAAUUACUAAAAAUGUUAAAAGUCACACAUUCAAAUUUUGUGAUCCAUGGUUUAAAAAAUUUGUUAUGAAAAAAUACAAAUGAUUACAAAAUUAUAUAUGUAAAAAUUCCAAUUUAGUUAAUUUUUAAGAUUAAUAUAUAUAUAUAUAUAUAUAUAUAUAUAUAUAUAUAUAUAUAUAUAUAUCAUUUUAAAUUAAACUAUAACCCAUAUACAAUAUAUAAACAUUUUAGCAUCAAAAUUUACUUUGAAAUUGUUUUUUGAUAAAAGCUUUGGACGAACAUUGACAACUUAAUUUAAAAAAAUAUAUAUAAAUUACUAAAACUACCAUUCCCACAAUAAAACUUUGUUAUUAGUAUAAUUAAGUUUUUCCUAUUCAAGAUACAUAUGAUAAAAAAAAUUCCAUUUAAAAGACAUUUAUAUUAAAAAUAUAGUAUGUAUGUUAAUAUCAUUUAAAUGUAAUUACAUAUCAUAUCAAAUAGAAAAAAUAUAUUGUUUGGAUUAAUAAAAUUGAUUUAUAUGUUUGCACCAAUUUAAUUAUAUAUGUAACAACCACGAAUUAAGCUAGAAUACAAUAGAGAACAAAACGUAUUGAGGCAAGAUCCGUUUAGAGUUUCUUAUUAUUGUGUGAAUAAUAAUCUUACAAACCCUUAGACUCAUAUUUAUAACAGCCCCAAAAACCCGAUUUCCUUUAUCCUUUAGGAAUACAUACUUAUCUAAAAAAAGUAAAAUUUUCUAAACCUAAAAGGCACCCCCUAGAUAUCAACCUUGAUAGCGAUUUAUCUUCCUUGCGCCUACGACGCCCGCAUUCGAUCCGACCCACAGAGAUUUAAGACACACAGAUGCAACAAACACCACCUUGACGAAAAAUCUCUACAAAACUCUCUAUCCCGUCUAUCUUCUGAGGGGAACCUCCUUUGUUUCUCAGCAUUGGCAAACACGGUACAGAUCCAAGCAAUGCUUGAACUUCUCCGUUGUACCAGGCUUGGUCAACACGUCGGCAGGAUUCUCUGAUGUAUGCAUCUUUUCCAAUAAGACUUCUCCAGAAGCUGCCAACUCCCUUAUCUUGUGAAACCUUAUACGAAUGUGCUUCGUCCUCCCAUGAUACAUUUGAUUUUUAGCCAAACAUAAUGCACUUUGACUAUCACAGUGUAGCUGAACACCUUCUUGAUC